RNAcentral lists this long non-coding RNA (47604 nucleotides) under Eutrema salsugineum. RNAcentral's name for it is "long non-coding RNA (ESAL_LNC001577)". The record is from RNAcentral. Lineage: Eukaryota; Viridiplantae; Streptophyta; Magnoliopsida; Brassicales; Brassicaceae.
AAGGUAAGACUUUUAAUAAAUAAUGUCGUGUGUAUAUCCAUGUUCUCCAAAAAUUCUCUGAAACAGAUAAUGUCGUUUGUUUACUCAAAUAUAUAAUAUGUGAUAACUGUAACAUUCAGGUGUACAAAUUUAGGUGUACAUAUUGAGUCCAGAUUGAGGUGUUUUUUUUUGUGUAGUUAUUAGGCGUACACAGAGAGGUAAGCUGAGACUUUAAAGAUAUAAGAGAACGGUAAGAGAACGGUUCUCGAAAAACUUGCACUACCACCCACCGAAAUUAAAUAAAGUCAGCACAAUUAAAGUAUCCAUAGAUUGAAAGCAAAACAAAGUACACCUACAUACAUACAUACGUAGUAGGCCUAAAUAAAAUUUUAAAUCUUAAAGUACGAAGUAACAGCAACGCCGAGGUGUACUUAACUUAGGUGUACACACCAAGGUGUACACCCCGCAGGUGUACACACCGAAACUGGUUGACUUGCACCAAUCAGUCACCAUUCUUCCAUUGACGGCCCAGAACGCGCUGCAUACCAAACAAAUACGAAGAACUUUUGCGUUUCCUGUGCCCAGAAACACGACGUGCACAUGCUUGGCCCCUUUAACAAUUCGUCAUGCCAAUCAAGUUGAGCAUUGGCAACACCACAGCGACAAGACCAAAGUGUGGCAAACUGAGCAUUAGUCUCAAAUCUCCUCCUCGAGAACUCUUCUGGCAAAAUAACAUAACCACGCUCACCUCCAUCAAUAAUUUUCUGAAUUAUUCUCCUCAUUGCCCCCCUGCCUAGUUUUGAAAGGUACUCUAAACCCACGGGGUCUUCAACCACUGCUUUCAUGUACAUGCCAUACAUGUAAAUACAUGUUUCGUAUCCCAUAUCUGCAGAUUCCUUGAUGAGUUUUAUGCCACAUUUGUCUCCUCGGCAGAAGUAGGAUUGCGUGCGUCAUACAUCGUCCUCAACAAGUUGGGAAAUUCCCAAUUCGCGAUAAAAGGCAUAUCGAAAUCUUCGGGAAUAGGCAUCUCCAAUUCCACGGGAUCAACCGAUGCUAGAAAAUUUUUGGUUAAAGUGCAGGCCUGGAACCGUUUGCAAACUUGCUUCAGUGUGAAAAUUUGUUGGACGGAGUUGCAACUGUAUGCGAGAACCUUCUCCAAUAGUUCGUCGGGAAGCGCCAUCAGAGGGGAUUGACGAUAAUCACGGAUAUCCGCAUCACAUCGCCCUCUCUUUGGUGCCAUAUUUAAUUUGUGAGGUUCAAUUGUGAUAAAAAUGGUUGUUUAUGGAGAUGGAAUAACUGCGGUUUAGGAUUUGUGAAGCGGAACGGUUCUUAAUGUUACAUAUAUAUAAUAAUUAAAAAAGCCCACUAAAUGACCGUAUACAUUAAAUGCGGUUACCGUUAAGAUUGUAAAUGAGUUUGUAAAAUUAGUGGAUAAACCAUAAAUUUCCUUGUUGUACACCCAAUUGAUGUACACGUAAAUGGAUAUUGGUGUACAGGUACAUAUUUAGCCGGGAACAAGGUAUUCACACAACAAUUAAUAAAUACUAAAAUAAUGUGAAGUAUAAACAAAUUUGUCUUUAUGUACUCCCAUUUGAUGCAUAUUGGUGUACAACUAAACGCUAUUAGGUGUACGGAUACGCAAUUAUUAAAGUAAACUAAAUUAUAAGCAAAUUAUAUAAUCGACACACCAAUUAAUAGAUAGUAAAGUAAACAAUAUUAUAAGCAUAUAAAUUAUCAAAUAAACCCACAUCCUAAACAUUAUCAAACACAUAAUCCAACAAAUAACCCUUGCAUAAAUUGUCAAGUUCAACAUUAAACUUCAACAUUCGUCCUAAGUGUUGGCAAUAGCCGGAUUCCUGACAAACUCUUCGUAUGAGUCCAUGGCGUAUUUCUCCCUUAACCUGUCAACGUCAUCGUCCGUUAUCAAACCCAUAUCCUCCACUCCAAGGCCUGCAGCAUGCAUCUCUAAGAAUUUGGCCGCACAUGGACCACAGUCACCGGAUCUUUUGUUCUGAUAUAUGCCCUCCAAACGACUCCAUGUGUAAGGGGUGGUGCAUAGGCCUUCCGUUAAUUUGCUAUCCAAAUAACGCUUCAAUAUAAAUGGCAUACUUUGACACACGGGCGCCAUAUACUGCUCCACAGCGGCUUCAUCAUUAUGACUGAUGAAUGAGUCCAAAAUCUUUAUGUUGCCCGUUUUAAAGUCAAUUACAAGGCCCACCCAAUGCUCAGACCCCCAGUUCAUGGGGACGUAUACAACGUCCACAAACCGUACAAACAUUUGCCUCUACCGCUGAUUAGCCCACUUUGCUGGUUUUCCCAAUACAAUGCCCUGAAUGGUUUUCCCCCAGUCAUACUGAUUUUUGUCUCGCGAUAUGAAAUCGUUGUAGUAGUUGCCGAUGAUGGAUAUGAACAAGGUGUCUACAAAUGCUACCCUGUCUUUCAAGUAUAUUUCACCUCUACGUCUCCAAAGCAUGGCCAUUAUGACUUGCAUGUGCUGACGAAAAAUAAAACAUAAAUAACAUAUAAUACAGAUAAUUAAAGAUUGAGUAAGUACUAACUAUAUACUUACCAUCGUGUUAACCCACUCAAUAGGCUUCGCAAUUUGUAGGAAGAAUUGAUUGUUCACAGUAUGACCAUUGACAAUGCAAAAUUCGCUGUAAUGAGAGCAAUUGGUAAUUGAUUAGAAUGAAAGUUUAAGGAUAAAUUGCUUUCAAUACGAUAUAACUUACAUGUUUCUUUCACGCGAUAAUAACUCCUGAAAUGCCUUGAAGUGGUCUUGGUCAACUGUUUCGAGUGGUUUGUACGCAGCUUUCGAUCUGGAUACAAAUAGAGCUUUCACCUUUGAAUCAGCGGUGUAAAUAUCUCGAAUCUUGUCCGAUCGUACACGUGCGCGUUUUGCUCUACUUCUUCCUCCUCUUCCUGUUCCUCUACCUCUUCGUCCUCUUCCUGUUCCUCCACUUGUUCUCCUUACACCAGACGAUCCCUCAACUUCUUGUGGGGGUUUUGGAGUACAAGGGGUCUUCUGCGAAGCAUCACUUGCAUCCUCAGGCGCAGUAUGGUAAUCUUUCCCCGCAUUUGAGUCGUCCUCAUUAGCCACACCCUACAAACCACCGUAACAAUAAAGCGUAUAACAUAUCAAUCGUAUACCUAGCGUAUACCUAAACACUACUGUAUACACAUGCAUAUCAUAUGAACAACUUUAAUGUCUGACCUGUGCAUCCUGCGCAUCUGUCUGCGCUUCAUGUUUCUUAUAUGCGUAGCUCAAUGGGUGAGGAGUCUGAGGUUUGUAGACUACUAAGGGGCCUGACACCAAAUUUGUUCUACCACCAUCCACCUGAAUAAGUCAUAAAAAACAUAGCACAUUACACCCACGUUAUGAAACUUAAUAGAGUCAGCUGCUGACUAAACAAUUAGCUCACCUCGUUGAGGCCAGAAGGUGGAAUUUCAUCCGGAGUGACGAAGUAAGGAGGUGGACGAGUUGUUCCUGAAUUGGCUUGUCCCGGUUCAGGGGUCAUCGUCGGAGCUUCUGGAGUCUUCAAGUACGCAUGGUCCCUGGGAGAAUAAUGGUCCCCGCCGUAGUAACUAGAGGUCCCUUCUUCAUCAUCUCUUUCUUUCUGGUGUACACCAUCUUCGGGGUGUACACCAUCAUUAUGGCGUACGCUAGACUGUGCCCCUCCAUCUUCGGCUUCGUCUUCAUCUUCAUCCGCUUUUUCACCAUCUUUUUUUGUAUUCUGUCCUUCGUCAUCCUGUUCCCCAUCUUCUUUUGACUGGUGUACAUCGUCAUCUUCUUCGUCCUCUUGGUAUACGCCCAAUCUCUUGUCCAACUCGGUCUUAAUCUCAGGAAGGAGCAAAGUAUUCUGAAGUACUAUCCAUCUUUUAAGAUCUUUAAUCUGUCAACUUUCAGGUGUUUCAUCUUCCGAUAGAUUAGAAAAGUUCUUGCCCCUGCCUCUCUUCCUCUGCAUAUUACGUUUUUCAGUUUGAUGGGUUUUCUGUUUCUUUUUCGGUCGGGUGGAUGGCUCAGGUUCCUGUUCAUUGGUAACCUCGUCCUCUGCAUCACUAAUAUCCACGAUAGGUGCCGGUGCCACUGCAAAAUCCGAAGGUGUGAAUUUGUACCCCUCGGCCAUGAGUUCCUGCAUGAAUGCAACUUCGGCAUCCUCUACCUCAUCUCCCCAACGCAAUUCAUUUUGUUGGUCAUUCUCACCAUCAUCCACUACCAUCUGUUUCACAGAAAACUAAGACAAAAAAUAUACAAUUGCAAAUUUACCAACCAAAAUGACAGAGCACUUAUCUUUUAAGAGAAGUACUACAAAAUAAGACUACAAAUAGUACUAAAUAUAAUACUACAAAUAAUUUACCAGAGGGUCGGAUUCGACGGCAUGUAUGUCCCCAAGAUGCAACAGUGUGAUAACGUUUUGACAGCCUUCGGGAUCUUCAAGGAAUGUCUUCAAGUUAUCAGGUUGAGGAAUUUUGGAAACCAACAUUGGUAUAGAUUGGAGGGCCAUGAGUUGUAGUGAUAGAGGGAAUCCAUAGCAUGCACUGGUUUUCUGUUUAAGUUGACGGCGCAAUCGUGUUACAGGAUUCUCCCUUUUCUCGGCAUCCGUGAUUGCCUUCGGAGCUUGAAAACAAGAUACUGUUUUGUUAAAGGAUACCCUCCCCCAUGGAUACAGCAUGAACCUAUCCAAGUCACUCAACAUCUCAACGUAUUUCUCGGUGAGGGCCAGAUUUUUGCUAUUGCAAAACAGAACACCGUCGACAAGAACGAUUAGGGCCAAUGGAAGCCGUUUCCAUCGGGGUAGAUCCGGGUCCUUUAGCAUUUCAAGCACAUCAUACACGUUCAUAGCCUUCACUCUUCCGAACAGGUCUUUCCAGAUUCCUGUUUUCCCGACUUCUUCUUCUUCUUCUGUGCUAUCAGGUUCGGGAUUGCAAUUCAAUCCAGUGAUUUCCUUGAACUCCCGUAUCGAAUAUCUCAGAGGCUGUCCACCAAAGAGGAACCAAAUCUCGUGUUUCUUCGUGGUCACAAGUUGUCAUGAUAGAAGGGCAUGGACAAGUUUGGCGCUGUUGCAACAUCUUGCAACAGGUAGAUGGAAUAACUUCCCAAACUGGGAAUGAAGUAGCUUCUCAAGAUCUUCAGUACCCUUUAACGCCUCGACAAGGAGGCCAAUUACAUUGGCCUUUGAAUAUAUGUUCAACCGAGCACCAACGGGGUAGCAACCAUCGCCGAGGACUCUUUUUGGUAGUUUUCCGAAAGGUUAUUUGAAGCUUCUCCAUCUUCCAUGCCUGUAUUUGAAGGUUCUCCGUCUUCCAUUCCUGUAUUUGAACGAAAACAACAAUUUCGAAAUGCACGAAAAGAUAUAGUAUUCUGGAUAAACACUGAAAUGCAAACCUAGGGGAAAUGUUUGAGGGAAAGGAGUUCGAAGGAGUUCGAAAGAGAGAACAUAUAUCUGGGAAAACUACCCUAUUUGUAUGCUCUCCUAUAAAAACUUCUGUAACUGUUUCUAGAUGAUAUAAGAGUAAUCCAACCGUUUGAAAUCAAUAUGUAGACAUAAGUACUACAGUUCAUAACCGCUAAUACAUAAAUGAAGCCAAUCAGCGCCCCGUUUCAAUCUUAAUUUUAAUUACAAACCGCCAGUACAGUUCAGACAAGGUCGAAGUUCAUAAAUGUAACUUACUUUUAGAAUUCUGAGCAGGCCAUUCUAGAAGAAGAGGAGCGAAUUGUACUUUGGCUCUACACCGCCGGCAUGGAUUCAGACGACUCGAGUGAAUGGGAUGUUCAACCCGGUCACUCCGCCGCGGUGGCACGGGCGGCAUGGGCGAGUGGUCCGUCGGAGCUGUCUUCGAGUUACUCCGGAGCACGCGCCUCGACACCGGAGGCACGGUGUUGUUGCGCCUUAACGAUUUUUUUACUUUCCGUGCCAUUACAACGGUAAAUCGGAUGGCUAAUCGAAGAUGGAUUGCCGGAGAUGCUAGAUAGAUGACGUCCAGAUGUGGAUCCCAAAUUAAAUUUUUAUUUUAAAUGUUGGGGUGUCGAUAAAUUAUACAUUUGGUUUUACUUCGGUUUAUGAUAUUGGACUUCGGUUGAUAAUUUUGUGUAAUCGGUUUACGAAAUCGGGUUUAAUCUGAAAUUUUUAGUUAUUUUACUUCGAUAAUGGCAAUUCCGAAAAUAAAAUUUGCCUAAGGGCCCUUGUGAGAAGACAAACAGUAAAAACAACCCUUUCCUUCUAUAGUUUUCAAAACAUCAUAUUCCUCAAAUUUAAAACUUAAAAACAUCCCAUUCAGCAAUUUUCUCAUAUAAAAAGAGAUUUCCUCGGAAACUAAGUCGACGGAAAAGAGAAUUCUUUGCAAACUAAACCUAAAUAAACAUAGCCUACAACGAAAACUUUCAACCAAGACCAGAACCUAGAAAGCAAAAAGAUCACUUGAGCUUUUACUUCUUUUUUUUUUUUUGAACAGCACUGAGGUUUUACUUCAAGUAGUAUUUUUUCAAGCAAAAAUAGAAAAGGAAACAAAUGUCAACUCUUCAAAAAGAGUUGUACUUGUGAUAUGUGAGUAUUGUUCAACGAAUAAAAUAUCUAAAAAGCGACUAAGUUUGAACCAUUAAAUAAAAUAUUUAUUUUAUCCUAGCUUCUCUUCCAAAACCGUAAUUUUCAUUUCCUAAAGACACUCACUUAUCGUCCUAAUCCUCCUCGCAGCCACAAUCUUCAUCUUAAGGUCUGAGCAAAGUGCAAAAGAUAGGAUCAGGUUCUUCUUACAAGGUAAAAUAUAAUCACUUUCUCUGAUUCUGAUUCUCUUAUUCUUCCCAUUUGUGGUCGAUUGAGUCCUCUCUCCACUUUAGUAAUCUUCACAAUCUGUCGGAAACGGUGAGGGUGAAGAGAUUUCUUAUUUCUUGUUGCUUUGUUUCAUUUUAGAGAUUUUUUGUGUAAUCGAAUUUUAUCACUGUAAUGAAAAAGUUACGCCCUUUAGUUGUUUGAUUAAAUGCUCCAAUGAAAGAUUAUUUGUCAUAAAAACCCAAACUUUUCUCCAUUUUUAUUGUAAAACAUCGUGAAUCUCUUUCGGGGUUUGGUGAAAAUGAAGAGAUAUGAUGAUUGACAUAUUGCUCUUAAUGCACAGAUUCCGAGCUUUUAUAAUGGCGCUGUUUCCUCUUCACCACGAAUUCCCCUGUAAAGAUCAUAUUUUUCAUAGUGGAACUUCGACUAGACAAAGCAAAGGAGAGCUGUUGUUUGAUUCGAAUGGUUCAAGGCGUUUUUCUUCCGGCAGGACCUUCUUCUUCCCAAGUCCGGCUUUUGACGUGUUAAUGAAGGCAGAGGUUAUUAGCAGUAAACAUAGAACAAUGGCUGAAGCUACUUCUCUGGGGAGGGAUUGUAGGGUGAAGAGUCAUAUAAGAUCGAUCCCGUAUUGUCUUUCAUCAAGAAGGAAUCUAUGCUUGGUUAGAGCGUCAUCAGAGAACAAGAUGAUAAAAAAGAGACUUAAGAUGUUAGAUACUUACUUUGGGAAACUUCAAAGCGACGAUGAGAAGCCUUCUGUCUCCACGGGAGAUGAAAUCGAUCGUAAAGCUGAACUCAAUGCAGAGGAAGAGUUGGAAUCUUUGAGCGUUUAUCUUGAUAAACUCCAAAAGGGUAUGACAAUAAUAAUACGAUCUUCUUGAAUUUGGUGACUUUCCUCUUGUUACUACUCACUGACUUCGUUCUUUUAUUCUCAGAUGCGAAGUUUAAAGAAGGCGGUUCAGUAGCAAGCAAAAUGAGAAAGACUGAUAUCAAAAGUAAUAAUAGUCCUUUUCAGCAGCUCGAGGAUGAUAAUGAUCAAUCAGAAGAUACAUUGAACUUCUAUGCUGUGUAAAAACUCGUAACCACCCUCUUGUUCGUCUUUUGUUGCAACUUGCAACACAUGUUCUUACUGACAAUGUGUCUCCAUUGAAAAUGCAGGAGCAUAUUAGCAUCCAUAAAUGUCGGAGUGUGUCUAUUUGAAGCUGCAAGUCCCAUUAGGAACAACGAUAUGGGACUGUUAUCACUGCCGCUUUUGUAUGGAGCAAAGAUAAACGAUCUAAUCGUGGCUGGACAAUGGUGGAGGCUGGUCACACCCAUGUUUCUGGUACAAGACCAACAAAUUGGGUCUGUUCUCCCUUUCUUUACUGUUUCAAAACUGUGACCAAAACAGCCGGAGAUUUUAAAAUACUGGACAAAAAUUAUCUUCAAAAGCAGAAGUAUAUAUUGCUUUAGUUUUCUCAUUGCAUAUUUUUGUGUUCCACAUUCAGCACUCUUGAUGACUUGGUUUCAUGUAAGUUUUCUCUUUUUGUCACUGAAACGCUUUCUUUUUCACAUAUGCAGCAUUCUGGAAUCCCUCAUGUAGCACUUAGCUCGUGGGCUCUGCUGACUUUUGGACCAAAAGUUUGCCGUGACUAUGGGAUAUUCACAUUUUGUCUCAUUUACAUACUCGGAGGAGUGUCUGGUAACUUCAUGAGCUUUCUUCAUACACCAGAUCCUACAGUUGGAGGAACUGUAAGCUAACCAAACUUUCCAAUAUGUGAUAUCACCAAAUUGCACCGUUCUUAACUUUCAGACUUAACGUAAACUGAUUGUGUGCAGGGACCAGCAUUUGCAUUAAUAGGAGCUUGGCUUGUCGACCAAAAUCAGAACAAAGAGAUGAUCAAAAGAGAUGAAUACGAAGAUCUGUUUCAAAAGGCCAUUAUAAUGGCAGGACUUGGUCUAAUCUUAAGCCAUUUCGGUCCAAUAGAUGACUGGUAAGUUGCUUCCAACAUAUCUUUCACAUGUUUUGCUUAGAAUAAUCCAUCAUAAAAACUUGAUCUUUGGUUUGAUUGAUAAGUUUACUCUAGACUCAACAAACAACACUCAAGGAUAUACUGUGUUUUUCAUGACAGGACAAAUCUAGGAGCACUUGUAGCAGGGAUCGUGUACGGGUUCUUCACUUGUCCUGUGUUUCAACUUGGAAGAGGGAGUGAGAGACAAGAAGGGAUUGUGACGGUUGGACCAGAGAAACAGAACAAUGGUGAUCCGUGUAAAUCAUUUCUUGUGUUCAUAGUCUUUGUCGCUGUUCUUGUGACUUGUGUGGUGCUUCUUGGUGAUGGACCGUUGGACUUCCCUACGUACGACGAUGUUGUCUACUCUCUCAUUUAGUGUGUCAUCAUCGUCAAGACAUCAACUGGUUAAGGAACUUGUGUGUGUUUAUGUAGUGGAAAGCUCAAUUUGAAUAUUGGUGGACGAGAGUUCUUUUGUUUGGGGUAUAGCAAAGAUGAGAAAAACAUGUUUUGGCUAUGUCAAGUUUUUAUUUUUGGUCGAUCAUCAACUAUUUUGGUGUAAUUAUGUUGAAAUCUCAAGCUUUUUGUGUAACCAUGUCUCAGUGUAUACUACUUGUGUCACUUUAGUAGUAUUAUAACAAUUAAAUCGGCAAUAACAACUAUUAAAACAGAAAAGAAUGGUUGUAAACUUCAUCAGUUCGACAAAGCUUAAGCAUAUUUUAAGGGGUUUAUGAUUAUCAUACUUAAAGAAACCUAAAUACUAUGUUGAGAAAGUCUAUAACAAAAAAAGAACACGAUAAUUAAACCAAUAUCCGAGAAAAUAAGUUUUUGAAUUUCAUUAAGAGGAAAAUAGCAAAUUUCGAGGAACCUAAAAGAGGAAUCAAUCGCAAAGUAGUUUUCAAAUUGUUUCCAAACAAACAAAACAACAAUAAUAGAAAAAAGUGUUAUCUUAUAAUAAGAAUCCUGAGCUAUCUCUCACUCAGAUUAUCACAUAAACCUUCUAGGAAGUUUCUCUAUCUUUAUAAAAUGACUUCCACUUCUUCAGUUUUUACUCUGCACCUUCGGGCUUCGAAGCCUCCUUUAUCUCAUCUCCUGCUUCAUCCUAUCAACCCAAAAAAGAAACAAUCAUGUCAAUUACAAAACUAAGCAAGCCCUAAGUAAUAGUGAACGAUAGAUGAAUCUUUGUUGUGUCGAGGCUUACUGUCAUGUCUGAAGUCCAGAGAGUGAGGUUGUCUCUGAGAAGUUGCAUAAUCAGUGUACUGUCCUUGUAUGAUUCCUCACCCAAAGUAUCCAACUCGGCGAUAGCUUCAUCAAAAGCCUGCAGAACCAAUUGAGCUCAUUAAGUUUUAGAAAGUUGAAAACUUUCACAUGGUUAAAGAAGAUGGUGAGAAAACAAACCUGCUUUGCGAGGCUGCAAGCACGGUCAGGCGAGUUUAGGAUUUCAUAGUAAAACACAGAGAAGUUGAGUGCAAGACCAAGCCUUAUCGGGUGAGUGGGAGCUAACUCAGCAAUGGCAAUGUCCUGCAUUAUCACAGAAUAUAGAAACAACAACAAAAUCAAUCAUAGCUAGCUACAAAAAAGAAAGGUAGUAUCGAAUGUUGUAAUUUAAAGGAAGAAUUAUCACUUGCCUGAGCAGAUUUGUAAGCAACCAGAGUGCUUUCAGCAGCUUCUUUCCUCUCGGCUCCAGCUUUAAACUCAGCAAGAUACCUGUGGUAAUCUCCCUUCAUCUUAAGGUAAAACACUUUAGAUUCAGCUGGUGAAGCAGAUGGAAUCAGAUGAGCUUCAAGAACAUUCAAAAUCCCAUCGCAGAUUUUGUUAAGUUCGGUUUCGAUUUUGCCCCUGUAUUCCUUGAUGAUAGCGACAUGUUCUUCGUUCCCUUUGCUAUCUUCCUUCUGCUCAAUCGAAGAAAUGAUCCUCCACGAAGCUCUUCUCGCCCCGAUCACAUUCUUGUAAGCAACGGAGAGAAGGUUCCUCUCUUCAACGGUGAGUUCCUCGACAUCCACGGUCUUUGCAACUUUCUCCAUGAAUUCAACCAUUUCUUCGUAACGCUCAGCUUGCUCGGCUAACUUCGCCAUGUACACAUUCUCUUCCCUUGAUGAUUCAGUCGACAUCUUCGAUUUGAGAAUCUAGAGUAACACCAACAAAGCAGAAACAGUUACUAACCCUUAAAACCGUGCAAUAAUUGAACAAAACCAUAGCAUCUACACACUCAUUUACUAAAUCAUGUUUUUUCAUCGGAUUAAGUACACACUCAAGAUCUCACAGAAAAUAGCGAGUGAUAUUACUCUACUAACUCUAAAGCCGUGCAAAUAUUGAAUCAAGCCAUAACCCAAAUCACCAUCUACACACUCAUUCACUGAAUCAUGUUCUAAUCAUGUUCUUUAUCGGAUUAAGACCACACUCAAGAUCUCACUGAACUCAUCGAUAAGAACAGUGAUAUCUAGAGCAAAUCCUACAAAGCGAUAACAAAUUAACUCUAAUAACCCCAAAGCCGUGCGAAAAUUGUUUCAAGCCAUAACCCAAGUCAAACAUCAAUACACUCAUUCACUUAAUCAUGUUCUUUACGGAUUAAGAACAACGUCAUGCUUUGACACAAACAGCAUUAAGAACAGUGUGAUGAUGCAGUCAACAUCUUUGAUUAAAGAAUCUAGAGCAUAUCCUAUAAAGCGAAAACAAAGUAACUCUACCAACCCUAAAACUGUGCAUACACUUGAAUCAAACCAUAAUCAAAAUCAUCAUCUACACACUCAUUCACUAAAUCACACUGUUCUUCACUGAAAACAGAGAUAAGAACAGCGAAAAUUGGCCAAUCCAACACAGAAUACGAACAUACUCGAGCUCUCUCACUCAAACCAAGGAUAGAUCGAUCACUAGAAUGGAACAAUAGAACAUCAGAUCUACACGAACGAGAAGUUGAACGAAGGAUGAUUAGAGAGAGAAACUUCAGGGCUUACCUUUUUUUUCUUUUCUUUUUCGUGUGAAGAUCUGAUUCGAAUUGCUGCAAGUGGUUUGAAAAUUUGGAAUAUGAAGAAACUGUGAAUCUGAUACAAUUGAAAAUGGAAUAAAACUGUUUUCGAGGCGUAGAGUUAAGAGCUCCAAUAUUUUCUUGACAAGUGUCCGAUGCUACAGAUGACCGACGAUUCGACCGACCACGUGUCUACCCAUGCUGCUGAGAUCUAUUAUAGAACUCUGAGCUGAUAAAUGGGCCAAAUAAUGGGCCUGAUCGUUUACUGUUGAAGCGGAGUCUUGCGACUCUCAGUCUCGCUUGUAUUCUUUGAAGUCAUCGCUUGACUGAGGGGACAAAGUUAAAACUAAAUCAUGAAGGAUUUGGAUAUGGAAGUUUUUUUUUUUUGUAAACAUGUUAAAAUUUUAUUAUCGAUUUUCGAAUUUUUUAUAGAAAUUACAGAGAUUACAAGGAAAGCAGAAAGACCGAAAAUAAAAAACUACUAACAAAUCCGACAAAUGCAGCAAACAACAACGAAAGUAUAAGAAAAUGGAAUGCGGAAUUGAAAUAAAACCGAAGCAAAACCAGACGGGAAAGCAGCAGUCGCACGCCAAAACGCAGACCACCCCGUAAUUGCCACAGCUCCAAAGAACUAGAGUUCUCAUCUUUGUUACCACAAGCAUCUUCCCGAGGCCAACCCUCAAACCUCAAAAGAGAGACGCUUACAGCUUCUCCGAGAACUAACGGAAUUUCCGGAUUCCGUAACGGACUAACCUGCAACGGUUGACAAGGGAGCCCGCAAGGGCCAUCGGAGAGUCACUUCGGACUACCAUUCCCGAAAAAACGAAUUUCCUCGAGAACCAGCUCCCACAGCUACAAACUAGCCGCAACAACAAACCGGCGCCUCAACAAUCACGUCCAGUAAUACUCCACCAUCUACACCGGAUCACAUCCGGAGCCACCACAAACCAAGAACUAUACACAAACGCGGAGCUAUCGCAAAUAAUCGGACACACGCACCUUCGGAAAAUCUCAGGCCACACCGAUGCUGUAGACGGCGGAGGAGCCAAAAGCUGAGACAAACCAGCGGGGCAACCGCCGAGCCACCCGUCUUGAGCCACUGCUGAGAGACACCGUCGAUGGAGCCGCACCUGCCGGAGAAACGAGAGCCAACACUCCGAGGCUUGCCACAAGCCAAAAGCCGCUGCCAAAACCCCUUAAGCCAGAGAUCAAAUUCGUCCUCAAAAUCCAAUACUUGACCGCCGAGAUUGACAGAAGCUCUUUACUAUCUAGCCACCACUCCGACACCUCGCGAAUGAAGCUUGAGAGGGACUGUAGCCGGAAGAGACAGCCACCACCUGCACACCUUCGACUAAAGCCAGAGAGCUCGUCUCAGGCAGGAGACUCUAAAAGAAACGCCGAGGAAACACGCCGGAGAAAAAAACAAGCCAGAUGCGAGAAGAGAGGAAGAGACGCCGGAAAAACGAAGCCAGACAGAGGGGGACGCCAACUACGAAUGAAGACGGAACACCUCCACCGCGGAUCCAACGCCGCUGAAGCCCGUGCCGCCGUCGUCGAGAACCCACCGACAAAACCACCAUCGUUCCUGCAACACCCAGCACGGCGGAAACCAGAUCUAAAGAGAAAAAGAAGAGAUGCAGAAGAAAGAGGGAAACAUGGGGGUCCUUCCUCCGGCGACGGUGAGCCACCACAUGCGCCGGAGAGGGAGAUCGGGAAGUUUUAGUUUGUCUGCAAGUUCAGAUUUUAAAAUCGCGGAGAAGGAGAAGAGGAGAGAGAAAAUUCCGAUUUGGAAUGUUGAGAUAUUGAUUUUUUACUUUUUGGAUAUGGAAGUUUUGAUAUUGAAUUUAAUUAUAUUGUGUGUAAUUACAAAGUUUAAUUAUAUUGAGUUUAAUUAUAUUGUCUGUAAUUACAAAGUUCAACCAAAUUUAUAAUUUACAUUUGAAAAAUAAAUAGUAUAAAAAAGAAGAAUAAUAAAUUUAAUCAUUCAUUAGCAAAUAAGAUUUUUUUUUGUUGUCAAAUUCAAUUUUUAUGUUGCAUAUAUUUAUAAUAAUUUAUAUUUCAAAUAUUUUAUAUAUUGACUUUGUAACUUUAUUUUUAGUAUUAAUAAAAUUGUUUGACAUAAAACAAAACUGAAAUCGAAAUUUAAAUUGUUUUUAAUUUAUCAUAAAGUAGUUUACGAAGUUUUUGCGCAACCAAAUCGAAUAAACUGUUUUUAAUAUUUUUUUACGAAAUUUAAUUAUACUAAAAUUAAAUAACAAUACAACGAAAACCGAUUUCUUUUAGAAUAUUUCCUUGAUUCUCUUUGCCUCCUCUACAAAUUCCGGAUCAAAACCCAAAUUUUCCUUGUAAAAAAUGAUGCAAACUGAAACCAAAAGUGGAGAGAACGACUUCAAACGACAUAAACUAUGUUUAGUUUUAAAUGUAAUCAACUCCCAUGAACAUGAACAUGAACAUAAACAUGAAACUUGUCAAAUGCAUUGGAGAAGAGAGAUUAUCAUAAAAGCAAAGUAAAAAGAAAAAAAAGAAAGAUGGGUCUCUGAGUUUAGGAAGGAGGAGGAAUGGAUUUGGCCCUGUUUUCUUAUUUUUCAUUAUUGGUCCUCAAACUCGUGCAUGUGAUCUAGAAGAUAAUUAGCUGCAAGCUCUUCGUUCUUGUUACACGCAAAGAACACUUCUAAGACCAUCGCACGAUCAAACCCCAUCGCUUCAAGCUGUUCACCCAUUCAACAAUAACAAAUUCAACUUCCAUCAAAUACAAGACAGUAUUUUAUAACAUGGAUUCAAACAUUCAAAAAAAAGUCUAGUUCAAGUAACAAAUGAAAAGAAAAGAGGGAACAAACCCGUUCAAUGGCUUCACGCUCCUCAGGUGUGACCGUAACAGCUUGUGGCAUUGCUGCUUCCAACUGUUCAAUGACAUUCCUGUUGUGGCAUUUGUGAGGAAAUGAUAUAUCAGCUUCCAGGUAUUGUUGGACAAAAGAAGAUUAAUUGAAAAUGUAUGGAAACUCACUCUUCUCCCUCGACGGGCUCAUUUAUCAAGCGUAGGAAGUCAGCCUGGUGCUCUUGAAUUAGUCGCACAAGCUGAGGGUUUUGUUUACCGAGCUCCUGAAGCAUAGGCUGCAAAAACAAAACAUUAUAAGCUGAAAAUAUUAUGCGAUAGCCACAUACCAGGGGAAUUGAAUAAGAGGUGAAUCAACGUACCUGUAGAAUUUGUGGGUUCGCUUGUACCAUAGCUCGCAAGGCUUGGAACUAAGAAAAGGCAAAAAAAAAAAAGAAUUUCAAAUAUCAUAACAGUAAAGAAUUGAAGAUUUCUUUACUCGAAUGUUAGAAGAAUAUGAAGAUACCUGUUGACUGUUACGCAGGAAAUCAAGAUUACCAGCUCCAGCACCAGCAUCUGCAGCGGGCAUGCCCUGGGUGAAGACAAAUAAGAGUGGAUGUCAUAAAAUAAAUCCAAAGGAAAAGAGUAAAUUGAACUAGGUCAAGUACACUAUUUUUGUGAGUUAAGAUUUUACCUGAGGAAACAGGUUUAGUGGAUUAGCAUUUGGACCACCAGUUGGGGGCACUGGAGCAGCUUCUUGUUGGGGCUGUGCUAGAGGAUUUGCUGCCUGUCCACCAGUAGCUGCGGCUGGAGCGACUGCAGGGAUUUCAGCCUGAGCAGGGAUACCCUGAAAUGUAUCAAACCAAAGUUCAAUAGACUACACAGAGCAAAGGUAACUACAGUUAUGGCAAACCAAAUGUAACUACACAAAUAACAAAGAAAAAAACUAGAAUCAAGGUGUGGAAUGUAGCAUACCGAGUACAGAUAUUCAACAGCUCUUUCAGGAUUGUUGAAGGCAGCUCUCAGGGCUCGAAUAACAGUGUCACGGUCCCAACUACCUCCACCCAUGUCAAGAAUUUGCUGGACUGUUGACUCUAAAUUAGUUCCAGCAACAAGGUUUGAGGCUGCGUGACCAUAAACAUCUGUUUGAGUCCUGUUUCAAUCAACAAGAAAAGAAAGUAGAAGUUAAUUGAACACUAAUCAGGGUAAGACGAAAUUCGACAAAAGGUAUACAGCAGUUCUAAAAGCACUCACGAAACAGCAGCAGCAGCCGGCGCUGCAUCGGUUGCAGUUCCACUAGUAGGCUCUGGACUGCAAAAUGCAAGCAAGAGUACAGCAAAUUAGCAAAGAGGCAUAACAAAGUGAUUCAUCAACAGAAGAGGUAAAUUAAUGUGAGGGGAAGGCCUGGAACUCACACUGAGACAGUUGGAGCAGGAACCUGAGGAGCAGAAACCGGAGGUGCAGCUACUGUCCGUGCAGGCUGAGCCUAAAAAUCCAAGCAAUUCAAUCAGACAAACUAAAACUGUAAUCUAGAUACGAUAUUCUGUUUGUUUUCAAUUGCAAAUAGAAAGCUUCAAAAGCUGAGUGAACCAUAGCAAAGUUCACACAAAAAAAAAAAAUAUUCACCUGAGUAGCACUAAGUGGUGGCGCUGGUACUGGUGUAGAUGAGGCCCCAGCUGAAGAAACUUUAGCCUAUAUUUCAUCAAAAACAAGAUCAUUAGUAUAACGAGUUAGCCUCCAGUAAUUACUAGAAUCCUGUUAGUGAUACUAAAAAUGAAAGAGCAUCAAACCUUGGACAGCAUGAUAACAAUGAAACUUUUCUCAACAACGUUGUUCUCUGCCAAUGUAGUCUCAUCCUUGAGAACCUUUCCUUGAUGGAUCAGCAUCUGCUGAGCAGCGGGGUAUUGCUCACCAUGAAUGGUUUCUAUACUUUUUUUAACAUCAGAGAUCUGAGAUAACCACCAAAAUGUUAAUAUGCAUCUCAACGUUAUAUGAAACACCAAAGCCAGACAGUAUAAGCAUUUCAUGGCACAGUUACAAAUCAAAGAAACAUCCUCAGAAGAUAUGAGACUAGCAACAAAACAAUUAAGUCGCACCAACGAAGAUUUCACAGAUAUCUAUCUAUCAGGAUGUCAGAUAAUUCCUUAAGUGCCUUAAGAUUCGUUAAGCAAACAUAGUCUAUGAAAUCUUCUACAGAUGAAAAACCCAGAUGGGAUCCCCAGUAUAAUUGGCUAUAUCAUACUCUUAGAGAAGCAAACUUAGAUUCCAGAAAGAUCUAGAAAAUAAUCCGAUUCAUAAUGAAAAACACGAAGCCAAAGAUAAAAUGCACUCUCAAUUAGUCCAAAAGUUAACCCAAAGCCAAAACUAUCACCAAACUUAAAGACUCACAACAAAACCCUAAUUCGAAUCCCAAUCCGUUCACUUAAACGAAACCACGAAUCGUCACAAAGAAAUCUCAACCAGAAAACACAGUACGUCGCAAACGAAACCCAGAAUUUCAAAUCAGAGAGUCGUGAGAUUCACUAUUUCAAACCCAAUUUCUCCACUCAAACCAUAUAAUUACGGGAACAAAAUCAGACCUAAUAAUCAGUUAAAACGCAAUAAGGAAAAAGAAGAUUUCGAAUUCAGAUGUUGAGUUUACCGUAUCCGUCUCAUUUACUUCGAUCUCGAAGUUCGUCCCCUUGAGAGUCUUCACGAAAAUCUUCAUCGUUUUAGGAAAAAACUUGAGCGAAGAGAGAAAGUUUUAGAGAGAGAAGCAAAGUAUAGAGAGAGACCGCUUUUGGGGUCUUGAGUCAGCUUAUAUAUCAACACCAAUUAACAAAUGUUAAUGACUGAUCGCAUACACGCAAGCCUAUACACGUUUGGUGUAUCAAGAAAAUCAUGUGUGGACUAAGAGCCAAUCGUGAUUUUUCAAACCGUUGGAUUAAUAAGGGAGUAUGAGAUGUAGUGAGCAUGUGCACAGGUGAUUAUAAACUCCUCCCAGGAUGGCAGAAUCAACUGAAUUACGGCUUAGGCUUGGAAGUUUAGAUAUUGGCAUGCGAUAUUUACUCAUGUAAAGUUAAUACUACUUUUCUUUUUAUUUAUUUUGUUUUGCUCUGCAAGUUAACUUUUUUACUAAUUAAAACACAUUUCUGAUUAAUAAUUAAAUUUAAAAAUUUAAAACAACGUACUCAAUAUAUCUAUAAAAGUAUUUUUUUUAAAUGUAUACAAUUAAGAAAGUAAAUACUGUAUCUAAACAUAAACAAUAUUUUAGUUUUUGCAAAGAUAUGCAUUUACUCUCAUAUAAAUUAAGCUAUAUCUAUAAGAAGAUUUCCUAUAUAUAGAUUAUACAUAUAUUGCAAGCUUAGAAAUAGUAUAACUUUUAUUGCUACAAUAAAUUUAUCGGAUGAUUCUUAAUUUUUUCCAAAUAAAUAAAUUUAUAUAUCGUCUAGAAAAAAAACUUUAUAACUCUCACAUAAAUUAAGCUAUAUCUAUAAGAAAAUUUCCUAUAUAUAGAUUAUACAUAUAUUGUAUGAUGCGAUCUUCCCAAGGAAUCGGCACUCUAAGGUGGUUUAAUGGAUAAUCCUUGACUCCAAACACUUUCACGGAGAAGAUGCUAAGGCGUGAGAAGUGAUUCCCGAAAAUUCUUAGUCCCAAACUCGCGGUGAAAAGGAAUGAAACAAGGGGGUGAAACAAAGAAAGAGAAAAACACCGGUAAAAGGAUGUUAAGACGUGAGAAAUGAAUUCCCAAAAAUUCCUAAGCCCCAAUUACUACUAACGGAAUUCCCAAACUCUGCAAACGAAGGCUGCUUCAAGUUUUAUGGACUGAACUUGAUAAACCGGGUUGAUCAAUGGAUAACCUCCAUAAGAUCGAAAAAUGAGAAUCACUCUCAAAGGUUCUAAAAAUAAUGAAUCAAAUCUUAUUUCUCCAAAAAGAGAUUACACUUAUUUAUAGGAAUAAAAAACUUGUAAAGAAAGCUAAUUAUUAAAUGAUCUCGAAAAUAUAAGAAGAUUAAAACUAAAUGAAAGGAAAUAAAUAGAGUUAAAAAACUCUUGGCCUUCUUGACUCUUUAUUCAUGACUCUUCACUCCAUUUUCGUCACCUCCUUUGACCAGAAAAAUAAAGUGCUUAUUUUGGGCUCUUCUUGGACUUCUAUCAUUCUUAAAAUGGGCUAGACUCUAUAGGUAACAUCUUGAAUGGAUUUCUUCAUGCUUCUCUUAUCAAAAUCUUCAUAAAUUUGCCCAUUAAGUGCUUCUUUGAACUUUUUAGCAUUUAGCCCUUUUCAUGGUCAUAUCAUCCUCUUCCUCUUCAAAAGGAUUUGUCCUCAAAUCCAUAUCUCACAAUGAAACACAUUUUUUUUUAUUCCUCUUUUUUUUUUAUUUUCAUUUUUUUUUAACUCUGUUUUUUUCUUUUUUUUUCUUUUUUGUUUAUGAAAAAAAUAAACAAAUAAAACAUAAAUAAAAUAAAAUGGAAGAAAAGAAGAUGAAAUGAUAGAAGAUGAAAGAAAGAAGAUGAAAAGAUGAGAAAAAUGAAAAGAAGAAAAUAAAAAGAUAAAAAAAAAAUAGAAAGAUAUAAACCAGGCUUAGAGUGUUGCUCUGAUACCAAAUGAUGUGAUCCUCCCAAGGAAUCGGCACUCUAAGGUGGUUUAAUGGAUAAUCCUUGACUCCAAACACUUUCACGGAGAAGAUGCUAAGGCGUGAGAAGUGAUUCCCGAAAAUCCUUAGGCCCAAACUUGCGGUGAAAAUGAAUGAAACAAGGGGGUGGAACAAAGAAAGAGAAAAACGCCGGUAAAAGGAUGUUAAGGCGUGAGAAAUGAAUUUCCGAAAAUCCUUAAGCCCAAUUACUACUAACAGAAUUCCCAAACUCUGCAAACGAAGGCUGCGUCAAGUUCUAUGGACUGAACUUGAUAAACCGGGUUGAUCAAUGGAUAACCUCCAUAAGAUCGAAAAAUGAGAAUCACUCUCAAAGGUUCCAAGAAUAAUGAAUCAAAUCUUAUUUCUCCAAAAAGAGAUUACACUUAUUUAUAGGAAUAGAAAACUUGUAAAGAAAACUAAUUAUUAAAUGAUCUCGAAAAUAUAAGAAGACUAAAACUAAAUGAAAGGAAAUAAAUAGAGUUGGAAAACUUUUGGCCUUCUUGACUCUUUAUUCAUGACUCUUCACUUUAUUUUCGUCACCUCCUUUGACCAGAAAAAUAAAGUGCUUAUUUUGGACUCUUCUUGGACUUUUAUCAUUCUUAAAAUGGAUUGAACUCUAUAUGUAACAUCUUAAAUGGAUUUCUUCAUGCUUCUCUUGUCAAAAUCUUCAUAAAUUUUUCUUAUUAAGUGCUUCUUUGAACUUCUUAGCAUUUAGUCCUUUUCAUGAUCAUAUCAUUGUAGGCUUAGAAAUAGUAUAACUUUUAUUGCUACAAUAAAUUUAUCUGAUGAUUCUUAAUUUUUUCCAAAUAAAUAAAAUUAGAUGUCGACUAGAAAAAAAAACUUUAUAUAUCUUUAAUUAGUUGAGUAUAAUAAUGGAUGGACAGGUCUUUAAAGUAACAUGGAUUUUACACAUAUUCUUAAUAUAUACUUAGAUUUUGAGAUAUGCUACGCGUUGGUAGUUUUUUAAUGCUAAUAUGCUAUCAUAUUCAUAGAAAUCAUAUUUAAGAAGUUAUAUUUAUUUAGAUAUUAAUUUAUUGUAAUAAAAUUUAUCAAAAGUAAUUCAGUUUUAAUCUCAAAAUUUAUAUAUCGAUUUUGAGGUUUCAACAAUCUUGUUUGUAUUUAUAUAUGUGUCGUUUAAACAACAUAUUAUUUUGUUGAACUCUUAACAUUUUGUAUACCAAAAUCUACUCAAAAUAUAACAAACUAAUUAAAUAGUACUUAUUUAGUAUUAACAUGAAGAUAAAGUACUAUACAUCACUUAUUAAUCAAGAAAAUAAGUAUUUUUCAUUAGUUGCAUCUUUGUUAUGUAUGCUUUUUAUAAAAAAAGAUAAAAUUAAAAUUUAUUCUCUUUUCUUAGCUAGUUUAGUUGAUAAAAUUUUCUAAUUUAUUCUAAAUUAAAAAUAAACUAAUAAAUAUAAUUUUUGCUUUCAUAUAUUUCAGUAAAUAAAUAUAAAAUAAAAUUUUAAACUAAUUUUAAACCACAAAAAUCGAUGAAUUCAAUAUAAAUUUUAGUUAAUUUUAUUUUAAAUUGGUAAAUACCAAAUCUUUUGUCAAGUAACAUAUUGUGUGUGAUAGCUUCUAAAUGUUUUUUUACUGACAACCACAAAAGGCAAAUAUUUUUUCCUUACUUUACUGUUUAAUGAGUAAAAAGUAUACUUGAUAGCAUUUAAUUGCUUCUUAAUAAAUUAUUAAAUUAAUUUUUGAUAUAUAUUAAAAUAGAUUUCACAAACUUUUUGACACCCUAAAAUUAUGUUUAAACUACCAAUUAUCUUCACAUAUUAAUAUAUGUGUUAUUUUUAUUUUAUAAUAAAUAUUAUUUUAAUUAAUUUUAUAAUUUCAACUUGUAUAAAUAUUUUUAAAUUCUUCUAAUGCUUGUAGGUUAGUAUACUAAAAAACAACUAAAAACAAUAACCAAAAUAAUCAAUUACUAUUUAAUAAAAAUAGUAUUGACACGAAAAAUUAGUAUAUGGUUCUUUUCUAAUAAAAUAAAAUAAGAUUUUUUAAAAUAUUUAAUUUCAUUCUGUUUAUAUCAGUUUUAUAAGAAAACUGAAAAACAAUUUUAAAAUUUACUUUCAUUCUUUAAUUGAUUGCAUAUUAUUUUUAUAUCUAAGUAAAUUUGUAUUUUGUUUAAAAAAUAUUCUUAAUUUAAUAUUAUUUUAUUUUUUUGUUAAUGAAAUUUUAAUACAUAUUUUCCUUAUUCUUUUAUAUAUUUUAUUAACAAUAAUUUUAAUUUUCGAAACUUUCUUAAUUUUAAGUGUUGAUGUGGACCAAUAAAAUUACCCUUUUUAAUUAUAUGUGGACACUAUUAGAGGCAUUUAGCUUCAACUUUUUAUUAGUAAUAAUAGGAUUAUUUUAUUUUAUUCAAUAACUCCUUAUACUAUUCAAUAACUCACCCCACAGUAAUAUUGACCCUUUAUCAAAAAAAUAAAAACACAGUAAUAUUAUGCUCUUUAUUUUUAAAAAUAUAUAAAAAAAUAUAGGAUUUUGUGACUUUUUUUGUUAUUCUAGAUUCGCCUGAAAAAAGAUAAUUGCUGCUAAUUUUGCAGUUUUGUGGUGUAGCUACAUAUCUUUUCAUCGUAGAGUCGUUUGUAACAAUGGGUCUAAUUGGUGAUCACGUUUGAAUAAGACGGUUAGAGAAUUUUGAGCGAUUCUAACAAAAGCGGUUAGAGAUAGUGGUUACAAAAGAUCGUUUGGUAACAGAAAGCGGUUUAAUAUUAACCUUGAUUGGUAACAUUACAGCGGUUGAAUAGUAUAAUUAUAUAAAAUUAGUAAGAGUGCGUUACCACUUGGGGCACUUUUUGAAAGAUAAUAUGUAUAGACACUGUUUAGGGGAUUUUUGGUCCUCUUGUGGGGGCAAGUCUCCUGCAAAACGAAGAAACACGUGAAGGCUCGGAAAACACGAUGGGGGUGUGUUUUCCAAAAGCAGCUUUUGAAAAGCUCUCUGACGUUCAAGUCAAAAAACAACAAAAAAGAUCACUAAGUGGCUAAUUGGAGAGCAGAAAAGAUCAGAAAACUAAAUAAGGAAAUUAGGUCGAGCGUUCUUGAGAAUGGAGGAAUCGACUCAGGCCUUUAGUGGUGAUUGGUUUUUAUCGUGAAAAGAGAAGGAAAAAAAAGUUUAUUGGUGGAAAAGCUCCACGGCUUAGGGACCACCGUGGAGAGGAAGUGGAGAAAUGGUCGGAAUAGUGACCAGAAAGUAUAAAGUGUUAGCGUCUAAGACUCACAAGUAUCUAGAGAGAUAUUAUGAGCUUUAGGAUAAUUAAAAGUGUGUGUGUCCCCCCUCCUUGUUGGAAGGAUAAAGUAUUUAUAGGAUUGUACCUGACCUGGGUUGGUAUAUCGGGUCGGUCUGCAAAUUGUGAAUCGAGUGGGUCGGUCUAGGAUCCGACUUGACUGAGUUCAAAUUUUGUGCUUGCGUCACACUUAUGACGGUCUCACCAACUUUCCUUGGCAUGUUCUGCCUGCUACAAGACCGCUCCUUGGUGCGUCCCUUUUGCCUUCAGUGUAUGGGUUAGGUCAGUGGUUCGGGCGUGGUAUGGCUCUCGCUGAACCUCUGCUUUUCCCUCUGAAUCCUGCGAAAGGUCACUGUCGUCUGACACGUAUAAGAAAGAUACAUUAAAUGCCAAUCUCGUGGGUUUGUAAGGAUAUAUGUAAUCAAAUCAGACUAAGGCAUAUUUCUAUUGUCGAAUGGAGGGAAAUUUGAAUAAUGUUUCUCGUUUAUGCAUUUACUUAUACUUGGCCUCGAUCCCUCGGUUUUCAGUUUAGUAUCUUUCCAAAAUUAUUUUUAUUAUUAAUUAUUUUGAAUUAGUAAUUUUUAUAUUUAGAAUAAUAAUAUAGUUUUUUAUGUUUUUAUAAUUAUAUAUUAUGUUUUCUUAUAAUUUUAUGUUUAACCGCUAAUACAUCCGCUGGUUAGCCAAUCAAAAAUGUCUCGCAAACGGAUCCGCUUUCAAUAGUUAAACCAGUCAUUCAAACUGUUUAAUAAUAUUCAAAACCACAAUCGCCUGCUUUCGCAAAUUUUUGCUUAACUGCAACCGCUGCGUUUAAACCUGUCAAACCCUAAAUGUUCCUCUUUAUUGUUUGUGGAUCUCAUUCUCUUUAUUUUUUUUCUUUUUUAAAGAUGAAAUGAUGUAAGAUUAAAUCAAUGGUAUGGCUGUCCAAAAUGAGAGCAAAGUAUAAGAUAGCUCCAAAACACUUUGGUGCUUAUAAUGGACAUAAAAGUCUCAAUAAAUGUCUUUGGUGGUAAUUAUCUCAAUUAAUAAUUUGUUUUGAUAAUUAUUUGUAAAAUAAUACAAUAAUAUAUAAAUGCAACCGCUGCGUUUAAACCUGUCAAACCCUAAAUGUUCCUCUUUAUUGUUUGUGGAUCUCAUUCUCUUUAUUUUUUUUCUUUUUUAAAGAUGAAAUGAUGUAAGAUUAAAUCAAUGGUAUGGUUGUCCAAAAUGAGAGCAAAGUAUAAGAUAGCUCCAAAACACUUUGGUGCUUAAAAUGGACAUAAAAAUCUCAAUAAAUGUCUUUAGUGGUAAUUAUCUCAAUUAAUAAUUUGUUUUGAUAAUUAUUUGUAAAAUAAUACAAUAAUAUAUAAUUUAAAUUUUAUGAUAUAAAAUUUCAAUAAACAUAGAUUACAAUUAUUAUCUUAAAACUUUCAAAAAUGAUAAAGUUUUUGAUAAUUUUAAAAUGCACAACUAAUCUCUGAUUUUUUUGUUGAAUGACUUAAUAUACAAACAUAUCUUUUUUCUGAUUCUUUUAUUUUUAUCUCGAGUAAAUUGAAUUGAUUAAAAUUAUUAAAAUUAACAUACAUAUACACAUACAUAUACUAAUGAAAAAAAAAAAGCAUACAAUUGUAAUAUGUAUCAUUGCAAAUCUAAAAAGCCAACAAUACAAAACCAUAAAUUUCAUCUUUCUUUAUAAAAAACUUCGAUUACAACCAUUCAUUUGCUUCAAAUGUUCUUUUUCAGUUUUAACCGUCCGAAAAUCAACAUUAAAUCGUCUGAAUUAUCUUCCAACCGCUUAUUUCAAACGCUGGUUAAUGGUUAUAACCAUGAUCUUAAAUGAUAUCUCCAACCGUCUUUUUUGAUUUUGUAGCAUUUUUCUAACCACCCAUUCUAACCAUCCAUUUCAACCGAGCGGUUGAUGCUACCAAUCAGAGCCAAUGUUAAUAAAAAUUUGCAAGUAAUUAAUUAAAUCGAUCGACUAAUCAUCAUUUUAUAAUAAAAUUAGAUCAAAAUAUUAUGAUGCUAGUGUCGACUAAAAAAAAUAGACUGAUAAAAUUCAAAACCCGAUCGGAACAUUUUGGUUCCAAUCGACCGUCCAAACACUAAACCAAAGGCUCGACUUUGCCGGAGACAGAGAAAACAAAGAUGCCAAAGAAUAAGCCGGCAAAAUUUUCCGGCAAUGACAACGCCGCUCCGGCAUCGACGCAAUCCGGAGCUUCAAUCGAUGCUUGGUGGUGGUUAGCACAUAAAGGAACCACCGCUUCUUUCCUCUGUAUCUCCCUCUUCGCAUUACUGAUCCGAUCUGCUGUAUCGUUGUACCCGUACUCCGGCGCCGGAACCCCACCUAAAUUCGGCGAUUUCGAAGCUCAGAGACAUUGGAUGGAGAUAACCACAAAUCUCCCGACCAUCGAUUGGUACAGAAACGGCACUUACAACGAUCUCACUUACUGGGGACUCGAUUAUCCUCCAUUGACAGCUUACCAGAGUUACAUCCAUGGGAUUUUCCUCCAAAUGUUCAAUCCCGAGUCCGUUUCUCUUCUAAGCUCUCGUGGUCACGAGUCCUAUCUUGGGUAAGCGUCAAAAACUCUUAUUGUGAUCUGAUCUUCACAGAGAUCAAAUGUUGAAUCUAGCUAUGUGUUUCCAGAUUCUCCUUCGUUUGUUGAUUGUUGUGUGUUUAGGUUAGCUAAUUGGAGUCACAUUUGGUUUCUUUUGGUGCAGGAAAUCACUGAUGAGAUGGACAGUUUUAUCGUCUGAUGCUCUCAUAUUCUUCCCGGCUGCUUUCUUUUUCGUGUUAGUGUACCAUAAGACUCGAAAUGGGAGCUCCAAGAGUGAAGUGGCAUGGCAUAUCGCUAUGAUUCUCUUAAACCCUUGUUUAAUCCUCAUUGAUCACGGCCAUUUCCAGGUUUGUAUUGUGAUUCUACAACCACAUUCUCUGGCUGAGUGAUGAUUCUCAUUAGGAUUUGGAUUUGUUUUAGUACAAUUGUAUCAGCUUGGGACUUACAGUGGGUGCUAUUGCUGCGGUGCUCUAUGAGAGCGAGGUUCUCACUUGUGUUUUGUUCAGUCUAGCUCUCAGCCAUAAACAGGUAACUUUUGGGAUUCCAUUUCUAUAUUCUUAUGUUUAGAGUGUUUUAUUUGCAGAUGAUGUGAUAUGUAAUGGAUUUUACGAAUUUCAUAGACUGAAAACUAAUUGGUUCUAGUUCCUUGGUAUAUAUGAUUAUAAAUGUGUGAUAUAUGCAGGUUAUACUACCUUUACGUCAAAAUGUCUAAUUUUUUUUCGGUAGUAAUGUAGUGUUCAUGGCAUCGUGCCUUCCGUACAAUGUUUUAGGCAUACAUCAUCGUUAAUCUUUAGCAGUUCUUAAUAUUUACUAAUCUCAUAGACUGAAAACUAGAUGGUUUCAGUUCCCUUGCGAAUCUGAGUACAAAUGUGUGAUGUAUACAGGUUGCUAUCGUGACAUUAAAAAAUUCUAUUUUGUUGAGGUAGUAGUGUAGUGUUUUAUGGCCAUAGGUAGUUCCUAUACAAUAUUGUUAAUCAUAGGAUUGUUGAUAUGUCCAUUUAUCUAUGUAUGUACCUCUUGAUAGUUUCAAAUUUCCUGUCCCAGUUUAAUAACAUGUUGCUCAUACUGUCUCACCUUGUCGAAUGUUGCAGAUGAGUGCAUACUUUGCUCCUGCCUUUUUCAGCCAUCUGCUGGGUAAAUGCCUAAGACAGAAAAGCCCCAUACUUGCUGUCCUAAAGCUUGGAAUUGCAGUUAUAGUGACAUUUGUUAUCGUCUGGUGGCCAUAUUUGCAUUCUUUGGACGAUUUUCUAAUGGUAAAUACAUAUUUGAUCAUUUCUCGAGAAAGAAAAACUAAAAUGAUAUCUAGUAGAAGUAAGAAAUUGAUCUUCUUGUUUCCUCCUCUGGUGUAAAUUGCUCAUAGCUGAUUGGUUUCAUUCGUUUCCUUGCUCAUUAAUGUGAAUCAAAUUGUUGAUGACGCAGGUUCUCUCUCGCCUUGCUCCAUUUGAGAGGGGAAUAUACGAGGAUUACGUGGCAAAUUUCUGGUGCACCACUUCCAUUCUCAUAAAAUGGAAAAAACUAUUCACAACACCAUCCCUCAGGUCUUUAAGCUUAGCUGCAACUGUAUUGGCUUCUCUCCCUUCAAUGGUUCAGCAAAUCUUGUCACCGAGCAAUGAAGGUUUCCUAUAUGGCCUGCUCAAUAGUUCAAUGGCUUUCUACAUGUUUUCCUUCCAAGGUAUGCAAAAAUAUUGCAAGUUGAUCUGCAUUAUCCACAAGCUAUUCAUCAUUUAUGCCAGCAAUUACUAUCUAACAUUCCUUCUUUUUUUUUUGUUAAUUUUGUUUCUCUCUGCAGUGCAUGAGAAAUCAAUCCUGAUGCCUUUUCUCUCUGCUACACUAUUAGCUCUCAAAAUCCCUAACCAUUUCAAUCAUUUAACCUAUUACGCUCUCUUCUCGAUGUUCCCUCUUCUUUGCCGUGACAAACUCUUGCUUCCUUACUUAACACUACAUUUGCUCUUUACCGUCAUCUAUCAUUCACACGAGAAUCAUCAUGCGAAACAGAAAACUAAAGCUUCAUCAUUCUCCUUUACCAACUUCCCGGGCUAUGUUUUCCUGCGUAGAACCCAUUUCUUCAUCUCCUUGGUUCUUCAUGCCGUUUACCUCACCAUUCAACCUCCUCAAAAGUACCCUUUCCUAUUCGAAGCACUGAUCAUGAUCCUCUGUUUCUCAUACUUUAUAAUGUUUACCCUUCACACCAACUAUACACAGUGGACUUUGUCGAGUCAUUUCAGGUCCGGGGAGAAAGAAAAGAAACAAAUCUGAAGACAGAACACAGAACUCUUUAGCCAGGUUCUUUAUCGCAGUUGCAUUAUGUCUUGGCCAAACUGAAUUUAGUUUAAGUUCUGCUUGCUGAACCAAGUCAAGAUCAUCACGGUAGAGUAGACUCAAGCUAGACAGAACCGGUUUACACAAACCGGUGGUUUAAUCAUCGGACUUUUUGUAUUGGUCCAAGUCUAGUAAAUGUUGGUAUAGAUUCCAAUGCCUAAAAUUGUGUAGCAUAUAAUUUUGAGGUAAAGAUUGAGCCUUUUAUGAAAGGAAACAUAAUCUUUUUAUGAAAAAAAUUGUGUUGUCAAAUCAUUUCCCGAAUUUUAUAGCUCCACAGGUCUUAGCAAUCAGAUGAAAUUUUUUAUGUUGUCCCCUUAAUGAUGGUCAGGAUCGAACUUUUUAUACAACUGUUGACACUUUAACGUACGGCCAGGAUAAAAACUUUUUGUGUAGUAAUGUGAUAUUGAAGAGUGAAUAAAUUUAACAUUAUGAAAUACCAGUUUAUUUCUAUAUUCUAAGUACAUCUAGCAAUUUUGUGAGAAAAUGUCUAACAUCAAAAGUGAAGUUGUAACGUAUAUACUAUAUCAGUAUGAGUCUUUUUAUUCAUUGUCAAUUGGUUUUUAUAUUUUAGGUGAUCGUAUUGUCAUGCUCAUUUUCUUAUCCUUUCGUAACAAUUAAGCUCCACACUUGUUCAAACUCACUAUCCAAAGUUUUGGGUGUUCUACAUAACUCUUUCAAUGGCUUCCUGUAAUUUCUCCACUCGAAAAAGAAGUUACAACCCUAAUAAGUUUGAUGCGUUUAUGCAUCGAUCUAAGUAAGUUUAUUAUUUGUACUAAUGGUUUUAUGCGUGUAUAAUGCGUUCCUCUAAUCAAAAAUAGACGUGACAUUAAAGGCAAGGCAUAUAUGAUAUUUGUAUAUCUCAUCAAGCCUUUUAUUUAUAUUCCUUGGUGAUAUUUUCUCGUAGAAGUAUCAUCGUCGAUUUGUGUAAUUUUAUGGUAAAUCAAAGCACUAGAUACCUACGGGAAAUCAAAGAACGAGUCUAUAUUGACAAGCUUAUUCCACUAUUAAAUCAAAUAUAUCCAAGAUCUCUAAUCAUGUAUGAUAUUUAUAAAUCUCAGUGGCUAUUUUUGCUGAGAUUAUUAUGAUAUAAAAUAUAGUUCUCUUGCUUCUCGCGUACAUAUAUUUUGAAGAUUCGCAAUCUUUACCCAAUACAUAAAUAAUUAUCUCUGUAGCUCGAUACCUUGGCUUUUGUUAUUUGUUGCAAGAUCUUCUUUUGAAUACAGAAAGUUUAUGAAUCAAAUUAAAUCUUUAUCCUUUAUCAGAAACAACUUGUAUCUUUAUAUACAAGCAAUUUUUCUGAUUUCAUCUCCAAAAGAAAAUUAUUAUCCAUAUAGAAACAAGAUAAUUCUUGAAUUUCAAAGAUUGGUUUACGAGAUUGGCUAGACGUGGAUGUUAACAUGGUAUAGACAUUGUUUCAUUUUGAAUUCAAAUUAUAAACACUAAAUCUAUAGCGUAUCAUCACGAUUUAUAUAGAUUUAUAAUUUUAAAACAAUCUGUAUGACAGAUGAAACUUGAUAUUAUUUUAGUCAGAAAACUUAUGGUUAUACUGAUACACUAGGUGUUUAGCCCACGACUUGCGCGGAUCGAAAAGUUUCAUUAAAAUCUAAAAUAAAAUUUUAUGUCAUAAAUAAAAAAAAAUUAGAUCAAGAAUUUGAUACAUACAAAAUUAAAAUAAAACUAACCUAUACAAAUAAUCAUUGUCUAACAUUAAAAACUUUAAAAUCAAUAUGUAUGAAAUCAAUAAACACAAACUAAAAUAAGAUUAAUAUGAAUUAUUCAUCUUUUCCUCUUUUUAUCUUUUAAUUUUUUUUCUCUAUCAUUUUCUUCUUCUUUUUUUUUUUGUUUUUUUUCUUCUUCACUUUCUAUGUUUUUUUUUUACUUUUUAUUCUGCUGAUUUUUCUUUUUUCACGUUUUCUUCUUCUUCUCCACAUCUUUUCCUUUUUCCUCUUAUACAUCUUUUGAUUUUCUUCUCUUCCAGGUUUUAUUUCCUUUCUUCUUCUUCUUCAAUGUUUUAUUAUUCUCUUUCUUCUUCUUUUUUUCUUUUCCUUUUUCAUUGCCAUCGUCUUCUUCGUUAUCAUUGACUUUNNNNNNNNNNNNNNNNNNNNNNNNNNNNNNNNNNNNNNNNNNNNNNNNNNNNNNNNNNNNNNNNNNNNNNNNNNNNNNNNNNNNNNNNNNNNNNNNNNNNNNNNNNNNNNNNNNNNNNNNNNNNNNNNNNNNNNNNNNNNNNNNNNNNNNNNNNNNNNNNNNNNNNNNNNNNNNNNNNNNNNNNNNNNNNNNNNNNNNNNNNNNNNNNNNNNNNNNNNNNNNNNNNNNNNNNNNNNNNNNNNNNNNNNNNNNNNNNNNNNNNNNNNNNNNNNNNNNNNNNNNNNNNNNNNNNNNNNNNNNNNNNNNNNNNNNNNNNNNNNNNNNNNNNNNNNNNNNNNNNNNNNNNNNNNNNNNNNNNNNNNNNNNNNNNNNNNNNNNNNNNNNNNNNNNNNNNNNNNNNNNNNNNNNNNNNNNNNNNNNNNNNNNNNNNNNNNNNNNNNNNNNNNNNNNNNNNNNNNNNNNNNNNNNNNNNNNNNNNNNNNNNNNNNNNNNNNNNNNNNNNNNNNNNNNNNNNNNNNNNNNNNNNNNNNNNNNNNNNNNNNNNNNNNNNNNNNNNNNNNNNNNNNNNNNNNNNNNNNNNNNNNNNNNNNNNNNNNNNNNNNNNNNNNNNNNNNNNNNNNNNNNNNNNNNNNNNNNNNNNNNNNNNNNNNNNNNNNNNNNNNNNNNNNNNNNNNNNNNNNNNNNNNNNNNNNNNNNNNNNNNNNNNNNNNNNNNNNNNNNNNNNNNNNGUAAGAGAAGGAAUCGGGUCUUUAUCUGCUGGGUUACGGGGGCAUUUUACCAGAGGUUUAGAUUGUAUCAGUGUGAUUCCUGUUGAAUCAUAUACUGCGGGGCGCAGGGCGGACGAUUUCAAAGCGGACUCCAUCUUUAAAACAAGCAAAAAGAAACAAAAGACUUAAAACCUGUUCAUUAGACAAUGAAGAUGAUUUAUGAUAUGUUGACAUGGUUUUAAUCACGUUAAGUAAGGAAGAAUAACUGACAAUACAAAACAACAACAUAUAAUCGAGGAACACUACUAUUGGUACUGAAAAAACGGAAAAAACAAUAGAAAAAAACAAAAAUUUGAUUUAUAAAAAAUAAAGACGGUAAACAAUACAACAAAAAGCCAACCAAUGUAGAAACCAAACCACAAUUGAGCUUAAGAUACAUUUAAAAAAGUAAUAUAUUUAUAUAUAGCUCUCAACUUAAGCUAGGAUUUCCCACAUCACAUGUACAUUUUUUUUUCAGAUAAUCUCGCUCAACAGAUAAUCCGAUUAACGAAUAAAAGAGAAUUAAAAAGAUUUUAUUAAUGAAUAAAGGGGAAUUAGUUACCUAGAUAGAAUGAGAGACCUUAUAGCGAAAAAUUUACUUUGCAUAUAUUAUAUAUGAUAUGAUUCUAAAUGUCUUUUUUAUUAAAUUCCAAUUUUUAAAUUUUCGUUAUUUUCUAUUUUAAAUAUUUUUGAUUAAAUUUCGAUUUUUAAUAAUUUUUAUUAAAUUUAAAUGUUUUUUGAUUAAAUUUCGAUUUUAACAGUUUUUUUAUUAAUUUACGAUUUUUAAUAUUUUAUUUAAUUACGAUUUUUAAUAUUUUUAUUUAAUUAUGAGUUUUAGUAUUUUUAAUUAAUUUACAAUUUUUAAUAUUUUUGUUAUUAAAAUGAAUUUAAAAAUAUAAGAAAGGGUAAAGGGUAAUUAGGGAAAAUUGGCUAAUUCAGACCUAAACUUUUGGAAAGUGUUAAAGUUAGGCUUGAACUAUUUUUCUGGUUAAAACAUACUUAAACAUUAUAACUAUUUGAAUUUCAUCCGUAAUCUAUGUGUAUUGUGCUUAAAUAAAUUUGUCCAUAGGUGUUAACGAUCCGUUAAAUCACGUAUAUGUGGCAUCAACGUCAGCGAUGACGUCGUUUUGGACUUAUCAAGUUUAACAAGUAAAGUACAUAAAGCGAUGUCGUUUAUAUCUUCUUCAACCCUUCGAUACUUGACAUAUCGACGACUUAGGGAUUUAAAAAUCAAAUUCUUCAGUCUUUGGAUUGUUUUUCGCAUUCAAUGUCUUCUUCUAGUAGUUCAGGUAAAUUAAAAAUUUGUCCCUCUUAUGUGUUUGUUAGUGUAUUACGUUGUGAGUAGAUUUCUUUUUUCUUUUCAUCCGAUAACUAACGCCAAUUCUUUUUUUGAAGUAAUCUCCUUCAAGCGGCACAGACAUCAGAACUUCGGAGACGUAUCAAAAUCCGGGGAGACUAUUCUAUUGUUGUCCGUAUGGAUCGAAUGAGGUAAUGUAUAGUCUCUGUUAAUUAAUUUGUUCUUUCUUUUGAUGUCAGUGACCCAUAUAAAUCGAGUCUGUUGUAUUGUUGUUAGGAUAAAAAUCAUCUGUUCAAGUGGACAGAUGUUUCUAUCGUCGAAGAGGUUGAACGCUUUCGACCUGAACUUGAAGCAUUGAAAGUAGAAGCCGCCGGAUUUGAGAAGGAGAUUGGAGAGUUAAAAGCUGAUGUCUGUUCCUGCAAAAAUGAGAUUGAAAAGCUUAAUGCAGUCAUGAGUUUCAUUAAAAAUGUGAUGGUUAGUGGAUUGGUAAUGGGUGUGAUUGUAUUUUACAUUUUCCAUUAGGAUUAUCUGUAGUGUUUUUUGCAUUUUCAAUAACGAUUAUGUGUUGUUCUAGUCUUUGGCAUUGUCAUUUUUGAGCCACAAUUCGUGUAUUUAAAUGAGAACACAAAUCUUUGUCAUUGUCAUGGUUUAGGUUCGACUGUGUAUUGAACUGUUGUUCAAUUUUGUUUCAUUGUGCAAAAUUCUCAUUGUAGAACAAAAAGAAAACCAAAAAUCAGAGUAGAAGCAAUAACAAGAGUCUCAAAAUCCAACCAAAUCCUCUGUCCGCUCAAAGACAUCUUCAAUGAAUCCACCAGAUUUUCAAACAUGGAGGCUGGACGGCUUAUGAGCGUGUUGACCUCUCCUCCAAUGUAUGUCGUUUCGUUUACCAUUGACAUCACGAACUUCCCAUUGUGAUGCACUUGAAACACAGCCUCCUCGGAACUGAAAUGAGAGUUAACAGAUUUUCAGAGUCAAAAAUUAUAUCUCUUGCCGCAAUGAUAUUAGAUGGUGAUUUAGAACCAAUACUGUAUCUAAAACCUAAACCAUAAAGCGAUCUAAUCAAAGCCUCUCAUCAAAUAACAUUAUAAAUCACACUCUAAACCCUAGCUAAUCGAUACAAAAAUAGAAAGAAGAAACACGAACUCAAAGUUUACCUCAUAUCUCCAAGCUCUAUGCAAUAAUCAAAAGCUUACACCACUUCAAAACUCACUUCUCCAAGCCCUAAGUGAUGAUUGCUCUGUUACUUUGUUUCGACGAAGAAGAAGAGAAUAUGAAAGGUUGUGUCGCGGGAUAGAAUGUGUUUUCCCCAAGUUAAGGAACAGACGACAUCGUUUUCACGUUUUUCCCAAAAAACUUAAGAAACCUUAAAUGACGACGUUACUUAUGUGGCCGCCACGUAGACCACGGCUUGACAGAAAACUUAACAGAGUUAUGUUGAAAAUUGGUUUUAGCACAAAGCAUAAAGAUGGAGUACGAAAUUCAAACUAUACCAAAGAUUAAGAAUGCCUUUCAAAUGUUAACAGAGUUCAAGUAUGACAAAGCACAGUACAUAAUGUUUAAGUAUGUUUUAACCAGAAAAAUAGUUCAAGCCUAACUUUAACACUUUCCAAAAAUUUAGGUCUGAAUUGGGCAAUUUUCUGGGUAAUUAGCUAUCCUAAAAUUGAAUGAGAGAGCUUUAACUCAAAAUUUUACUUUGUUUAUAAUGUAUAAUAAAAAUAUAAGAAGGGGUAAAGGGUAAUUAGCCACCCUAUAAUUGAAUGAGAGAGUUUUAAUUCAAAAUUUUACUUUGCUUAUAAUAUAGAUGAUAACAGUUUUUUUUUUUAUUAAUUUACGAUUUUUGAUAUUUUAUUUAAUUACGAUUUUUAAUAUUUUUAUUUAAUUACGAUUUUUAAUAUUUUUUAAUUAAUUUACAUUUUUUAAUAAAUUUUGUUAUUAAAAUUAAUUUAAAAAAUAUAAGAAGGGGUAAAGGGUAAUUAGCCACCCUAAAAUUGAAUGAGAGAGCUUUAACUCAAAAUUUUACUUUGCUUAUAAUAUAUAUGAUAUACAUUUAUUCAAUAUUACGUCAGAAAAUGUAGGGUGAUAAAUCAAAGCUCAAACUUAGAAAUAUUAUACUGUACGUCUUUUGUCUAAAAAUAUCUCUGUAUGUGACAAACACAAACAUAAACAUAAAAUGAAAAACGUAAAGACGGUCUGGUUAGUGGGUUCGGGUGGAAUCUGAAAAAGGAGAGGGGUGACGAGACUUUUGGCUUUCAGGGUUGUCGUAGAAGCCUAUCGGCCCUUUAUGCCGAAUUGGAGAGUCUUUUAUGGGCUAUGUCUUACGUGAAAGAUAGACAUAUUUUAUCUGUACACUUUCAAACCGAUUACUUGGAUCUGGUAAGCAUGUCUGAAUCUCCAUCGGAUUGGCCAUCAUUCUCAUCGGAUUGGCCAUCAUUCUUAUCGGAGUUGGAAGCCUUCCGCAUUCUCCAGAAAAGCUUCUUGGAUUUCACUCUCUCCCAUAUCCCCAGAAGUUCAAAUGUCCGAGCGGAUAGUCUUGCAAAAGGAGCUCGAGCAAAAUAACGUAUUUUCUCCCAAAUCAUUCAUACCGAACCAGUUGAAGACGGUUUCGGACCAAUCCUUUAACGGGCCAAAUGUGAUGUAAUUGUUGGGUUGUGGAAGAAAAAAAAUGAAAAACGUAAAGAAAAUAAGAGAUUGGUUAAUUUUAAUGACACCAAUGUGAGUGAUGUCCUUCGACAAUUAUCUAAUGGUCAAAUCUGUAACAAGACCAAAAUGUUGAAGUACACAUAAUUUCUCGAACGAAUUGACUUUGUUGCGAGUCUGAUGUUUAGACGACCUGUUUGGCUCUAUUAUGAAUGAGAAAGCUGAUAUGGUUAAUCUCUACGUUCUUCUUAAUUAUAGUGGCCUUGUUAGUUAAUGCCUUCAAACUUUUUUUUUUUAACGUCUGAAUUUGCAUUAACCAAAGGGGAAGAUUAGUACAAAAGCCAAAGGCUGAAAACAGAGCAUCAACCACCUAAGGGAAGGGUUUAAAGAUGCUCCUUCCAUAUUAACGUAAUAAAUCCUGCAACCAUGAAGGUCCUCCUCUAGCCAGGUAAGAAUUGAACCUGCCAUCUCGGGUGACACUUUGAGAGAUCUCCCUUGCUGCUCUAUUGGCUCCCACCGAUUCAUGUUCAAUAGAACAAAAGGUAAAACCGUUGCAUAGUUGGGCAAUAAGAGUGGUCAAAGAGCGGAAUUUCGGCCAGAGAAGAGGUUUAGAGAUUGCCUCUACUACCGAAUGAGAGUCGGAGACUAGCAAAACCUCUGUGAAGUGUAGGUCACACAAGCUUUGAAUUGCCCAGAUAAUACACCGUAGCUCCGCAAUAAUUCUGUUAGGCGAAGGAGUAAAAGCUUCUCUUGCAUGAAAGAGAACCGAGCCUUGAUGAUCUCGGACGAUCCACGCCCCACCACUGUGUAAAACUUCAUUCCUCCAAUUAGCAUGUAAGUUGCACUUAACCACGCCCAGUGCUGGAGGCUGCCAUUUAGAAUCGACAAGAUUAAAGAAAUUCUUGUUACGAUCCACCAGGCCUGAAGGAUCAUGCAGCUUCGACCAAAGCAAAGCUUCUUCUUUAGCCCUCUGUACAAUUACUGCUGCAGACUCCUGUUUGUUUGCAAAGAAUACCGAGUUCCUGUUUUUCCAUAUUUGACUCUUCUUUUCUCAACUUUAACUAAGGAUAUUUAGCAUGCAUAAUUUUUACUCAUUGUAAAACUAAAAAAAAAAAAACACAGAGGAUUUCUUAACAUGCAUGAAUUUUAGGAAAUUUUAUAAAUUUUAAGUUUAGGAAGAGUUCUACGAAAAGGAAAAUUCUUGUUCGAGGGGGUAAAUGAAUGAAUUCACUCCUAGGGAUGAACCCAAGAAUUGUUCUCUACGAAAAUGUACUAAAUCAUUCAAGAGCAUUUCCUAAACUUUAACGAAGCCUUUUCUAACAUAAAAUUUGUACUAGUUUAAAAAUUCUCUACAUUUAUGAUGUUUGUGAAAUAAAAUCUUGCUUUUAUUUUGGUAAUAAUGUACUGUAUUUCUGUUUAAAAUAUAUAGAUUAAAUGGAAAGGUGUAGUAUUAAUGUAAAAAAUUACCAGAUUCCUUUACUUAUUUAGUUCUCUCAUAACUCCCAUUUGGUUAAAUGUAUAUGCAACAACGAACCAUAAUUAGUACUUCUAGAUUUAAUUACCAUACUUAUAUAAAUAGUAUCUCGUACCCCAUUCCAACAUUAUAAAUACACCAUCUUUUCUCUUUGUCUGUCCUUCUUUAAGAUCUUUCUCUCUUAUCUUUGUUAGUGGAAACUUCAAAAGAAAGAAAGCCAAAAAAAAAAUGUUGCUUACACUAUUAAAAUCACUCCUCGUGAUAUUCGUGACCUUGAUAUUAAGAGUUCUAUACGACACCAUAUCAUGCUACUGGCUAACACCUAGGCGAAUCAAGAAGAUCAUGGGAAGGCAAGGCGUAACCGGUCCUAAACCGCGUCCUCUAACCGGAAACAUCCUUGAAAUCUCGGCCAUGGUUUCACAAUCCGCUUCCAAGGAUUGUGACUCUAUUCACCAUGACAUCGUCGGUCGCCUUUUACCGCAUUACGUCACUUGGUCCAAACAAUACGGUAUGAUCUUAUAAUCUUAAUUAUAAAACUCGGUUACAUGUAAAAUAUUGAUUAAACCAAACGUCAAUAUAUUGCUCCCUUGGCUUGAACAGGGAAGAGAUUUAUUGUGUGGAACGGGACGGAUCCUAGGCUUUGCUUAACGGAAACGGAAUUGAUAAAGGAAUUGCUUAUGAAGCAUAACGGUGUAAGUGGAAGAUCGUGGCUACAGCAACAAGGAACCAAGAAUUUUAUUGGUCGUGGUCUCCUUAUGGCUAAUGGCCAAGAUUGGCACCACCAACGUCACCUUGCUGCACCGGCAUUUACCGGAGAAAGGCUCAAGGCACGUCAAGAAAUUAACCUCAUGCACACAAAAAAAAUGCAAAGUAACUGACUGUUGAAUGACUGAAAUACCCUUUACGAUGCAGGGCUAUGCAAGGCACAUGGUGGAGUGCACGAGCAGGCUAGUGGAGAGGUUGAGGAAAGAAGGAGGAGGAGAGGUUGAGAUAGGGGAGGAGAUGCAUCAGCUCACGGCUGAUAUUAUAUCGAGGACGGAGUUUGGGAGCAGCUUUGAGAAAGGCAAAGAGCUUUUUCACCACCUCACCGUCCUCCAGCGCCGUUGCGCUCAAGCCACCCGCCACCUCUGUUUUCCCGGCAGCCGGUUGGUUUUUCUUCCUCACUCAAAAGUUUCUAGUUUUUUAUAUACCAAUGUGCUUUUCAAUUAUUAACAAUAUGCAGAAAUUCCAAAAUAUUAUAUAUGUGAAUUCGAUACCAUCGAUUUGAAUUACCGAACUAUUUAUUUUAGGUAUUUGGGUUGUGGACAAAAUAAAAAACAAUAUGCAGGAAAAAUUCCAUUAUAAUAUACCAACUAAAAUUUUUAUUAUCAUUUAAAUACACCAAUUUUAAUGUAUUAAAAAAAAAUAUUAGUUAGUUAACUAAAAGUAUACUGCUUUUUGUUCACGUAAAAUUGUAUGUGGUAAUUUUUAUUUUUGUUAAUUGUGAACUUAGUGAUUUUAGAUUUCGAAACUUAGUUUGUGCUUUGAUGUGUCAUUCCCGGGUUUCAAGCAAUUUGUUUUUCUAUGUCGAGCACAAGUAUAUAUCACCCGUUUACUCUCUAACAUGUUUUGUUUCAAAUGACUAUUGCUUUAAAGUUGACCUUAAUUAGUACAGUCAAACCUUGACUUGACAUGGAAUAUUUUGUGUCUAUAGGUUUCUUCCGAGCAAAUACAACAGAGAGAUAAAGUCUCUGAAAAAGGAAGUGGAACGUUUGUUGAUAGAGAUCAUACAAAGCCGGAGGGACUGCGCCGAGAUGGGCCGGAGCAGUACUCACGGCGAUGACCUUCUUGGCCUUCUCUUGAACGAAAUGGAUAGCCAAAAGAACAAUAAUAAGGAUAACAACAAUCUUCAGUUGAUAAUGGAUGAAUGCAAGACGUUCUUCUUUGCUGGUCAUGAGACCACCGCAUUGCUCCUCACAUGGACAAUGAUGCUCCUCGCCGAUAACCCCUCGUGGCAGGAAAAAGUUCGUGAUGAGGUCAGAGAGGUAUGUGGCUGCGACGGUCUUCCCUCGGUUGAUCAACUAUCCAAGCUUACCUCGGUACGUAUUUUCACUCUUAGCUAGAUACAUGAUAUACAACUUAUAACAUCUAAAAUAUAUUGUUCUUACCCAUUAAUUAGAACUAGAAUUCUAAACCUAAGAUCAAUUCUUCUCUUACAAAUUUUAAUUUUUUUGGUUAGAUCCAUCGAGUCAACGUAGGUGUAAAGUUAUAUUAGGUUUGAAUGGUAGCAUCUUCUGAGUAGAUUCUGAGUAGGACUCGAAGGCCACUAACUCAUACACAUAAAAGAUGAUAUUUGUUGUUUGCUCCAAUUUAAUAAGUAUAUAACUAUACAAUAUUGAAACUAAUUAUUUUGUUUGAAGUAGUAGAAUUAGCUUUAUAAUGAUGAAUUGGUGCGGGUGGGGUAUAAACAUUCAACACAGUAUAGGCAGUGCCACUAACUUCAUAGUGCUUCUUCCAUAUCUAAGCUAAUAACAUAGUCACCAAGUCGACACAGAAACCUAAUGAGUAGAUCAUAUCUUCUAGUUUUGUCUUCAUGCUUAAUCUUAGCCGAAAUCAAAUAAAAAGCGUAAUAGAAAUGUGUAGGUUUAUUGAUUUCUACAGAUGUAUUCAUUUUGAAUCAGUCGUUACAUUUUUGUAUCUGGUUUUACAUAAUUCACGUUUCGUCUUAGAAAUAGUUAUUUAAAUAAGAUAUGAUUAACAAUUGGUUAAGCUAGCUUUAAAAUUUGAGAAGAAAUAGAGGGACUGGUACAUAGAUUUUCAGGCAUAAACAAAUGGGUAAAUGAUACAUGUCUUUUGUUUAAUGAUUAGCACUAAGACAUGCUUUGCAUAAAAUAUUAUAUAUGCAAAAAAUCUGAAAUCUGUAUUAACUAAUGAUUAGAUUUUGACAGCUUCAUUGAUAGUCUUUUUCAAAAGGAAAAGUCAAUUCUCAAACUAAAAGAUGUUUGAGAAAGAGUCAAGAGGCACUUCGCAUGAUCAUAAGAUAUGAUUCCAAUAUAAAUUAAUAGAAUAUUUCUCCUAACUAUUUUGUCUUUUUUCUUCCCUUAUACCAGUUAAACAAAGUGAUAAACGAGUCACUAAGACUUUACCCUCCAGCCACUCUUCUACCAAGGAUGGCAUUUGAAGAUAUAAAACUAGGUGAUCUAACAAUUCCCAAAGGUUUAUCAAUAUGGAUUCCGGUCCUCGCGAUCCAUCACAGUGAAGAACUAUGGGGUAAAGACGCAAAUGAAUUCAACCCUGAACGUUUUGGAGGUAGACCAUUCGCUCCUGGCCGCCAUUUUAUUCCAUUUGCAGCCGGUCCUAGAAACUGUAUUGGACAAUCAUUUGCGAUGAUGGAAGCAAAAAUAAUAUUAGCGACGCUAAUUUCGAAGUUUAGCUUCACGAUAUCAAAGAAUUAUAGACAUGCGCCAAUCGUUGUGCUUACUAUAAAACCUAAGUAUGGAGUUCAAGUGAUAUUGAAACCAUUGGAUUUAUGAAGACUUUUGGGGUUAAGAGAUUGGUUUUUAAUGCCUUGGUUAAACGCUGGGAGAGGAAAGAUUUUGGGGUUUGUGAAUUUUUUGAGUAACAUGGGGGAUUUUUAUUGGAAUAAAUGCUAUACGAGAGAAUAUAUGCUAUUCUUUUUCCUCAAAAUACAUUUUCUUUUGUGUUUUUUCUUUCUUUUAUGGGUUUUACGAUAUUAUUUAAAAGUGACGAAAACAACUCAACAGCCUUCAUGUUUUUUUUUCAUAUAUGUUAAAAUAUAUAAGCUAUUUCUUAGAAUUUCUCAAAAAUAUACACGUUUAGUAAAACAUUUUAAACUGAUCCAUGGUAAAAACUAAAAAAAAUGUACAUUUGAUGACAUAAAUUUUCGCACUGAUUUCAAAACUCAUGCAUUAAAAUAUUUUUGCUAUGCCAAAAAAAAAAUGGUAGACUAAGUUGGCAUUCGAAGUGAGAAAGCUCAAAAGAAGAUUUCGAACUAAUAUUUAUUAGACUAACAAAUGAUUGUAAUUUUUUAUAGGCCAAAGCUUAUUUGUUUGAUGUUUUAAUUGAUUCAAUUGAUUCAAUAAGGACGAGUUGCAAGAUAUAAAUAAUCUUCUUAGUAAUAAAUUAAUCACAGAAAGAUAUGAAAGGUUGGGAGUCUCGCGACUGUUGUCUUUGUGUAAGGUCAUAUUUAUUUGCUUUUGAGGCUGCAAAAUGGUAUCAAAUAACCUUUUUGGCAUAUGGGCCAAAAAGCAAUUGUCCAUCGAUCCCCUUUUAUUGGGUUUAGAAAGUGAAGUUGAUAUUCAAUAUUAAUAAAAGUCAUCAUGUUAUAUUGAGAUGGGUUCAAUCUAGAUAAGCUUCUAAUAAUAACAAACAUAAAACAAGAAGUAUAAUAAUCAAAGAAACAAAAAAAGUGAUUAGGGAUGGGGGAAAAGGAGUUCAACUUUUAUUUUUGUUGGUUAAGUUUGGUGGCAGCCAUUGCACUUACAAUGACUAAGGUUGAUUCUUGCUUCUUUAUCUUAAAUAUAUUAAAAAGAAAAUGUGGUAGAAGUAAAGCAAUCGGAGUGCAUGGUAGAAAAAGAAUUUUGUAUUGUAUGUCCAUGUGUAGAAUUAGAAAAUAUUGUUAGAAAUUAUAAUAAUAUAACAUAUAUACGCGUAUAUAAAAACAUAUCGUCAUUAUAAUUUUUCUUGAACUGACAAGUCAAAAAAAAUAUCGUCAUACUGUUAGAUACGCUCCAAUAAAUAACUGGAUUGUUGUACAAAUGAUGCAAGAAAAUAUUAAAGGAAUAAUUAUUUGUUCAAUUUUCCGUAACGCAAUCAAUCCGAUGCUAAUUAGUUCUUAGUUGUCAUGAGAUCAGUUAAGCGAUCCCAUUUAGAUCUCUAUGGUCUGUAAUCACUCCGACUACUUGUUUGGAAUGAGAAUUAUGAGUAAUAGUCUUGUAUUCAUAAAAUACACCACAACAAUAUUUUAGCCAAAAAAAAGAAGAAAAUACACUACAAUAGUAUAAACUAUCUAGGAAAUGUAAAUAUUUGUUAUAACAUACACACGCGUAUGCAUCUACAUUUAAAUAGUGAUAUACUGUAUCUUGUUUGACGAAGUUAAGCAAAUAUCCUUCCAGUAUCAAAAGAGACAAAUCUUCGUGAUCAAAUAAGAUUUGGUGGAAAUGUGAAAAUGUGAAAAUGUGAAAAUGCUAUCUCAAAUAUUAUCAAAUACAAAUUAUGAGAACAAAUAUAUAGACGAUUUUAAAAUUUUGAUAGUGUAUCAACUUUUAAUUAAAUAAUCGCUGUACAAUAUUUAAGUGAAAACAAAUUGACAUGACCAACUUUUAACUCGGUCUUAGGUAGAAGUAGAAGAAGCAUGUGCCUCUAACCGCUGUAGUCGAUUCGUAUCUAUUUUACGGACUAGUUUUUGUACAAUGUACCUAUUAGAGAUCAAAUGUUGCUAGUUCUAUUGGAAAUGAGACAAGCCUAUCUCUUUUAGGGAUUCAAAACCCUUAAAUAAAGUUAAAUAUUUUCCAUAUGUUUUUGUACAAUGUAGACCGGUUUUGUUCUCAGUGAACAUUACACUAACAGUGAGCACACCUUCUUCUCAUGUCAAUAUGCCAAAGAAGUCUGGCGUUUAUCAGGAAUGCCUCUGCAUAUCCUCAAGAAUCGAAAAUUUUCAUUGGAAGACAAAGUACGAUACUUGUUCUCUCUACACCGGAAUAGUUGUCUCUGAAACAAACCUGAAACUUCCUUUUUAAGUGCUUUGGAGGCUAUGGAGAAGUCAAAAUGAUCUCCUAUUCAAUCAUCAUAAUAUCACCGAAGUAGAACGAUAAAGAGAGCAACUGAGGAUGCGAAAAAAGGGAUCAGCAGAUCUCCUCCAACGGAGACAUCAUCGUAGACACCGGCCAUAGGACUAGACAAGAGCAAAGUCGAUGGAUAAAACCAAAUAAAGGUUAUAGGUUAAGUGUAAUUAUAUAUGAUGCAUCCCAUUAUGAAGGUAAUCAAAACUCGGGACUUGGAUGGAUUCUUCGAUAUAGCAAUGGAACUUUCUUAGACUAUGUAUGGGUAAGUUUCAAGGGAGAAACACAACUGAAGAAGUAGAAUGUACAUCAAUUAUUUGGGCUAUGCAAGCAACUUGGGCCCUCGGAUAUUGAGUGGUAGAGUUUGAAGGUGAAUAUUUGAAUAUCAACCGUAUUAUCAACCAGAAAAUUACAAACCUUAAACUUCAGCAUUAUAUGGAGGCAAUCAACCGGUGAAGCGAUAUGUUUAAGCAAGACAAAAUUUCCUUUAGGCAUCGUGAGUUGAAUACAUGCGGUGAUAUAUAUGCUAGCUAGGAAAUCAAUCUUGGAUGUAACUCUUUGGUCAAUGUAUCAUUGUUGCCCAAAUUUACUAUAUCCUCUUGUAAACAAAUAUUGUGAAUUUGUGAUUUGCAAAAUCAAUAAAGUUCUUUGUCGGAGGAAAAAAAAAUAAGACAAAUACAUAAUUUAUUUUCAUUUUGGCUACGUUAGAUAACAUAUGCAUGCAUAGUGAGGCUUGAACCUCGAACUUGAUGCAAUAUGUGAACAUCCGUAAGAGGGUACCAGUAAUCAGACAUUAGUAAUCUUGUUUGUAAUAUAGAAAAAUGUUUCAGGUCUUGAUCCUACAAUUUUUUUUCUUGAAACUUGAAAGCUUUAGCUUUUGGUUCAUGUGCUAUAUUAUAUGUAGUACAAAAAUUUGGAUAUCGUCCUAUGCUGGGCUUUAGCGGAAAUAUUGAUUUAUGAGCUCGACUAUUGAGCCCAAUUAAGUGUAUUUUUCCGAAGCCUAUUGAUAUUAUCUGCAUAUAGAGAGACUAGGGUUAGCUCUAUGUAUGCAUGUAAUUUUUUCAAAAUGGACUUACAUACAUUUAAAGUUUUUCAUUUAUAUAAUAAGAUACAUGUAUAAAGAUGCUUUUGAUAAUUUGUUACAAAGGUUUCGCUUCCACAAUUCAGAAGAAAACCCUUUUUUUUUGCUUAACUUAAAACAGAUUUCUAAUGAUUACUUCCACUUGUAUUCUAACUUAGGCGUUUUUUUGCCAUGUGUGAAGUAGAUCCCAUCUUCUCUAGCAUCCCAAAAGUUCUUUUUACCAUAAUGAACUAUGAGACCACCACCUACAUAUCCCGUAAACCCUGCAUGGAACUUGAAAUUAGGUCCUUGCCAUAGAUCACAAAAGAAUUCUGUUUUCAAAACACUAUCAUGAAAACUGAAAUCGUAGGUUUCUCCAGGUCGCAAAUAGUGGAAGCCUAGAUUGUCGUCGUUCGAUAUGCAAUUGAUCUUCAAUAUAUUGUUCCGGCCUAGAGAAUUUUUAAAGAAUACAGAGUUUUUCUCAUUCCACUUUGCGUUACUCAAUCCCAUGCACAAUCCAAUAACGAGCAGAAAACACGAGAGACGAUUCAUUGUUUUGCUCUUCCUUGUUCUACACUUCGUUUAGAUUUAGAAGUAAUUUUUGUAGAUAAUUAGAAGGGGCAAUGUCUUUUUAUACUCUUUUUUACAUGGAUAUUCAUUCUAGCUAUUUUUAAACAUCUUUGUUUUGACUAAUACGAAUCCGGUUUUGCUGUUUUUCUCUUGUCCUUAUCGCUUUUACUGUUUUUGCAUCUAAUUAGGCCAUCUCCAAUGGUUAGCACCUUAAGGAGUGCUUAACCAUUUUUAAAUUAGUAUUUUUGAAGUUUUGUUGUUUAAGCAUUUCUUUUAAGAUGUUAUUUUUUUUCAGGGUCCAAUGGGAGGUGCUAAAAAGGGGUGCUUAAAAAAUUUUUUUUUUAGUUUGAAUUUGCGUCUUCUUCUUUGAUCGUUCUUGUUGUUGUGUCUUCUUCUUUGAUCGUUCUUCCUGAUACCUAUCUUCCAAUGUCUUUGGUUUAAGACUGCAUUGCCUGGCAACAGCAGAAAAAAUAUAUCAUCAAUACAGAUAAGGAAGAUAACCACUGUAUAUAACAAAACCGCUUUUUUCAUACAAACAAUCUGAUCCGAUAGAAUAAUAGAAGCCCCAUCGCCAAUAGCUUCCGGGUAUAUUGAAUGUUAAACCUAUUCUCUAACUCAGAGUGUGAGCAAUAAAGCAACCACUAACACAUAAUGAAUUUGAAAUUGGACCAUCUAUUAAGUACAAAAAGCUUCAGACUCGACGCGGAUAUAACAAACAUUGUUUCUGUUAAUUUGCACGCUGAUACAAUCAAACAAAAAUCAACCACAACACUCUCUUUUUUUAUAGUCAACUAUCAACCAUGAUACUCAAAGCACCAAAUUGCAGAAAAUCCAGAAACAAAAACCCGUAAGCAAAUCCAUUCAUCGGUCAAAAAUCAAUGUUGUCGAAAAUUACAAAAACCUGUAAUCAAAUUUGGUUUCUGAAAUUUGAUUUCCCAACUAACCAAAAUCUUGCUGAGUCUUUGCACUGGUGAGUCUUUGUUUCUGUUGAAUCGGCGGAAUUAGCUGCUUCGACGAGGGAUGAUAUCUCUGAACCAUCGAUUGAUAGAGUAAACAUCAACCUGGGUUUCUCGCCGGAAAAGUGAUGAUAACAAAGGAUUUCUUGCCGGAAAAGAUGGGGAAUAAGCAUGCAUGAAGAUCAAGCUGGGUAAUCUCUCAAUCGGCUCUCUCAAUCGCCAAAAGAAUCGAAGGUCGGCUUUGGAAACAGAAGGAGAAAAAACGACUUGGGACAAAAACGUGAUCGGUGAAGAACAAAGGAAAAAAGGUUAUCCUGCGUGAAAAAAAAAGAAAAAAAAAGAAAAAUUUUAGACCAAUGAGAAUUGAGCACAUCAUCGGUGCUUAAGGGUGCUUAAGUUGCUAAUAGAAGCAUCGAUGCUAAGCUUUUUUUCUAUUAAAGAUUUAUUUUUAAUCUAACUUUUUGAUUAAGCACUCUUUAAGCACCUUCCAUUGGAGCUGCUCUUAAAGAGUAACUAGUUAACUUUCUCGCGCCUUGCGCGGAUUGAUAUAAUUUCCAUUUGAUUGUUUGAAAAUGUAAUAGUAGUUUGGAUUUAUUUAUUUUUUUAUUCUUGAGUAUAUUUGUUUGUUAGUUUUUUUUUUGCAUUUUAAUAUUGGAAGGCAUGAUCGUGAAGACAAUAUAGAAUAGAAGAGAGUAAAUAAAAGCAUAGUAAUAUCCAAAUAAUUUAGUUUAAAUAGUUUUGAGAUAUUUUGAUUACUGUUUUAUGUAUUUUAGACGUAAUUUUUUUAAGGUUCGUAUGAACUUAUUCAAUUUUGAUCACUGUUUAAUGUGUUUUAAACAUCAUAAAUACCUUCAUUCCAUUAGUUAGAUAUAUAGAUUUUCUUUCUUUUAAACUUUUUUGUUAGAGUUUUUUUUUUAAUUUCUGUUUUUGUUUUGUUUUGAAACGACAUUCUAUUACUUUUUAAAUAGUUUUCAUUUUUUUUCUUUUAACAUUUUUGUUAGAUUUUUCUAAAUUUUAAAAACAAAAGAAAUGGUAAACACUAAGAAGUAUGGAUUCUAUUUUUUUAUAAAAAAAAAAUUUUUGUUAUUUUUUUUUUAAAUUUCGGUUAUAUAUAAUUUUAAAAACGGUUUCAUUGACCAUGAAAUUAAAAAUUAAACCAUAUUUAGACUUUUUUAAAAGGUUUUUUACACAUCAUCAUAUAAGAACCAAUAAAAAAAUGACACAUAAUUGCAAAAAGGGCUAAACGGUCUGUUUAUAGCCGAAAUUUAUUUAGGAGUUGACACGUAAGCGAAAAGCUGUGAAACUCGCUGUAAAACGUUUUUUUUUUAAUUCUUCUAAAUUUUGGUUUUAUAUAACUUCAAAAACGACACUCUAAAGCUUUUUAAAUAGAUUCAAUUUUUUGUUUCUUUUAACAUUCUAAAUUUUAGAAACAUAAGAAAUGGUAAACACUAAGAGAUAAUUUUUUUUUAGAAAAACAUUUUUUUUAAAAAAAUUUCUAAAUUUCGGUUUUAUCUAAUUUUAAAAACGGUUUAGUUGACUAUAAAAUUAAGCAUUAAACCAUAUUAAUUUAAACCGGUUCGUUUUGAGUUUUUUUUUUUACACAUCAUCAAUUAAAAACCAAUUAAAAAAUGACACAUAAUUGCUUAAUAUGGUUAAACAGUUUUUUUGUAGUCGAAACUCAUUCUAGAUCAGACACGUAAGCGAAAGAUUGUGAAACUUGUUGUGAACGCGACACGUAAGCAAAUCAGUACACAAAUAAGUAUAUAGAUGAUUUGGAUAUAUAUAUAUAUAUAUAUAUAUUUUUUUUUGGGGUUAAAUGGAUAAAAAAAAUUCAACAUUAAUUUGUGAUAUGCGUCAAUGACUAUCUUUAUAAUGUAAAAAAUCUUAAUAGAACAAAUAAACGCUUUCAUUCCCAUUGUAACAUCAAGUGGUUACGCAAAACAUUUGGGUUUGAAUGGUAACACACCGAACAUAAUGGCAAUAGCUUCCAACUUGCGGAGAACUGGUUCUUAAAGACUUUUAAGUUGCUUUCCGGUUGGGUCGUUUUAUCAUUAUUUCUUUUGUUUCUUCGGUUUUAAGAAUGUUAUCAUUGCAUCUUGACAUUGUGAGUUGAAAAACUCAUGGUUUAGUCGAUGGACUGAAUUUCGAGUUGUUUUUUGUUUCCAUGUUUAAUUUUUUUUUUGCCAUGAGACCAAUUUCAUUGGUUAAAGCAUCUAUAAAAUCUAAACCGUUCAUUUUUAAUGAUAUUAACAUCUUAGCCAAAAAAAAUAAAAGCAAUAGUGGCAAUAGAGUUCCUGGAUUUGAAAUGACAACAGUGGUAUUAUCUCAUAUCAUCUUAACUCGAAUUUUUUAGUCCUCUGUUUUUUACUUUCUUUUGUUAUGUUCCUAAAUUUUUUUUUACUAUUCUUCUGUCUUCUUGCUUUAAGAGUGUACAUGGCCAUUAACGCUCUCAUAACUCAUAAGUUAUAAUAGUGACGACCUUUGAUUAUAUCAAUAAUAAAAUUUUCGAGUAAUGUGUAACGGAACAUUGUGAACUUAUAAACCGAUUCAGACUAAGCCCAAUUAAUUGUAUAUAAUAAACAUAAGGUCCAAAAACAUUAUAAUGUAGGUCAUGCGUCUGAUUUCUUUUCUCCCAAAAGGAAGGAGACAAAACCCAUAUGGCUCAAGUGGAGACCAGUAACCAUACACAUUCACUCAUUUUCUUACAAGAAAAGAUAAGAUAAUGGAAUUUUCUGACACGUGGCCUUAUCAUAGUGGUCCGUGACGAUAAGGGUGUCAACACCUUUCCUUAAUCCUGUGGCAGUAAACGACGUUAUCAAGAAUCAUGGACCCUUUGAUCAAUAGGGCUUUUUGCCUCUAGCCGUUCUCACUAUAUAUAUAGAUGAGUAAAGCGAUAGACAAACAAGUAAGUAAGAGAAAAGAGCAAAAGAAGAAGAAGAAGAAGAAAUAGUAAUGGCUUCCUCUAUGCUCUCCUCCGCCGCUGUUGUUACUUCACCGGCUCAAGCCACCAUGGUCGCUCCAUUCACCGGCUUGAAGUCAUCCGCUGCAUUCCCAGUCACCCGCAAGACCAACACCGACAUUACUUCCAUCGCAAGCAACGGAGGAAGAGUUAGCUGCAUGAAGGUAAUUAAAUGUCACUAUAAGUUCAUAUAUAUAUAUAUACGAAAUCGAAGUAAUAUUAAUUGGAAAUGUUAUUUAUAGGUGUGGCCACCAAUUGGAAAGAAGAAGUUUGAGACUCUCUCUUACCUUCCUGACCUUACCGAAGUUGAAUUGGCUAAGGAAGUUGACUACCUUCUCCGCAACAAGUGGAUUCCCUGUGUUGAAUUCGAGUUGGAGGUAAUAAAAAUCGAAAAUCAUAUACAUAAAUAUUUAGAGUAGCUUGACCAUAUGAAUCUUGCAACGAUCUUAAAACUGUUUAGAGGUCCUAUGCAGAAUCUUGAUUUAUAUGUACAUAUUUGAAAUGUUCUUGAAUGGUUUUUGUAAUGUGUUUUGUAGAACGGGUUUGUGCACCGUGAGCACGGAAGCACUCCCGGAUACUACGAUGGACGUUACUGGACAAUGUGGAAGCUUCCUUUGUUCGGAUGCACUGACUCAGCUCAAGUGUUGAAGGAAGUGCAAGAGUGCAAGAAGGAGUACCCCCAGGCCUUCAUUAGGAUCAUCGGAUUCGACAACACCCGUCAAGUCCAGUGCAUCAGUUUCAUCGCCUACAAGCCACCAAGCUUCACCGAUGCUUAAGUCACUUUCUCUUAAAUCAUUCAUAUAAUAUUCUCAUUUGCAUUUCCAAUUGUCUCUGUUUCUUUUUUU